This 70954-nucleotide long non-coding RNA is filed under the name Lactuca sativa (garden lettuce). RNAcentral describes it as "long non-coding RNA (LSAT_LNC007664)". Lineage: Eukaryota; Viridiplantae; Streptophyta; Magnoliopsida; Asterales; Asteraceae. The record is from RNAcentral.
AAAAAAAAAUUGUAAAUUUGUAUUUGUAUGUAUAUAUACAUGCAUAUUUCCAACAAAGCAACACCGCUAACCAUGGCUUUUUCUUCUCUCUCCCUUAUCCUUUUCUGCUUCAUCUUCAUAUCAUUCGCCAUCUCCGACGCCGUUGUUCCCCCCGCCGACACUUUUCGGUAUGUCAACCAAGGCGAUUUUGGAGAACUCGAUUCCGAAUACGCCCCAACCUAUCGUCCUCUUCCUCCAUACACCUCCCCUUUCCAGCUCUGUUUCUACAAUACCACCCCCGGCGUCUACACUCUUAGUCUCCGCAUGGGAACCGGACGUGAUGAAGCGGUCAUGCCAUGGGUGUGGGAUGCCAACAGAGGCAACCCAGUUGGCGAAAACGCCACCUUCUCAUUAGCCUCCGACGGAAACCUUGUACUCGCCGACGGAGAUGGACGGAUCGCAUGGCAAACCAACACCGCCAACAAGGGUGUCGUCGGUUUUGCCAUACUCUCCACCGGUAACAUCGUGCUUCGUGACUCCAAGGGUGGUUUCGUCUGGCAAAGCUUUGAUUCACCUACUGAUACGCUUAUGUUUGGUCAAUCUCUCCGGAUCGGAGGUCCAACGAAGCUCGUCAGCAGAGCUUCAACGACGAACAACGUAAACGGAGCGUAUAGUUUCGUGAUAGAGCCAAAAAGAUUGGGUUUGUAUUAUAAGAACAUGCUUUAUUGGUCUUCCACGUUUCCAUUGUUUCCGGAAUUGAACCAACCAAAUGUGACUAUUGUUAAUGCGACAUUCGCCAUCGUGGAAACCGAAUACAAUAACGACUUUAACGCAAUUAGGUGUCAUCUUUCAAACUCUAAUGCUCAACCUUUUUUGGACAUGGACAUACUCCGAUUCAAUAACACGUUAUCCUAUAUCCGAUUAGGCAUCGAUGGGAACUUACGACUCUACUCUUAUCGUCCUCCGAAUAUCCGUUUUAGCCAAUGGCGUAUCGUGUUCAGAUUGUUCGAUAAUAUGGAGACCACGAGGCGGGGUUUAUAUGAAGACGAGUGCCAACUGCCUGAACGCUGCGGCAAGUUUGGGCUGUGUGAGGACAGCCAGUGUGUUGGGUGUCCGUCGCCGGAGGGUGUUUUUGCGUGGAGCAAAAACUGCAAUGCGAAGACGCCGUCUUGUAAAGCGGGUGGUUCUCGUUACUACCAGCUGAAAGGAGUCGACCAUUUCACUUCUAAAUACUCUCCGGGGAGUGGGCCGAUGAAACAGAAAGAUUGCGAGAGUAAAUGCACAAAGGACUGUAAGUGUAUGGGGUAUUUCUAUCGCACUGAUCUAUCGAGGUGUUGGAUCGCUAACGAGUUAAAAACUUUGACGAGGGUUGGGAACUCGACUCAUUUGGCGUACAUCAAAACACCCAUCCAGUAGUUGGAUAAGUCUACUAGGAAAGAGGGAAUAAGGAAGAUGAAAGAUUUGAAGAAAUAGCACUGUUUACUUGCUUUUCUAUAUUUUUACCUUCCAUUGUCUGUUUGUAUCGAAAUCAAAGAGACUAUGUGGUUGUAUAUUUUUUAAGAUGUAAAACGCUUCGGUAUGCAUAACACAUUUGCAGUAGAAUAAAUGUGUUUACAGUCUACAAGUGGACAAAAUAUUUACAGUUUAAAUAAAGUUUUUUUAAUAAUUAUAAAAAAUAAAAUUAAAAAUUGUUUCAAUAAUUACAAGAACGUAUAAACUGCAAAAUAUGAUUAUCUUGCGGAUUACCAUUUUUUUAUAAUUAUUGAAAAAAAUCUUUUAAUUUUAAUUUUGUUUACUUUAUCUUUUUUAUGUUGUAUGUAGAACUUAAAAAACAAUCAAUCUUUUCUUGUAAAUGCAAACAAUUAGUCCCCUUGUAGACUACCAACACCUUACCUAUUGAAGGCAUGUAUUUUUUCUAUAUGGUAUUUUAUUUUCUAUUAUGAAACAUGAAAUGCAAAUUUAAUUUGAAAAUCAGUAAAUCUAUAAAUAAUUUAAAAAAAAAAAAAAAAAAAACACUAAAAUUACGAUACACAAAAUUGUGUGUCGUCUUUAUUUAUGACAUGACCUUUCUUGACAGGGACUUCCUAGAUACGCAUUGCGUGUCAUAAACACGCGCUUCGUAAGGUUACGGCACGCAAAUGCGUGUCGUCUUCCUUUAUGACAGGGCCUUCCUUGAUACGCAUUGCGUAUCAUAACCGUGCGUCGUAAAUGCGCGUCGUCUAUAGAUGACGCGCAAAAGCGCGUCGUCUAUAGAUGACGCGCAAAAGCGCGUCGUCUCUCUUUAUGACAGGGCCUUCCUUAACGCGCAUUUGCGUGUCGUCUGAGCGUUUUACGAUGCGCAAUGAGCGUCGUAAAAGGCUGUUUUUUAGUGCGAUAAAGGGUCGGCCUUGGUGCCGUAGACCCUGUCGAUAUAGUGAGGAUAACCCACCUCGCGACUUUCGAAACUCUAAACUGAAGAAGCAGAUGCCCGAACCACCGUCUCACCAAAGAUCCUGAACUAUCCAAAGUAGCAAAAUACACAUUAGACCAAGCACAAUAUCCUUCCAAGGGUAAAUUGACCAAUUUACCCUUAACUCAAUUUGGUCCAUGACUAAGGUCCAUAAUGAAAAUAUGAAAGGCCCAACACUAGGUAAGCUCUCAAGCCUAUUAAUGGUCCAAAGACCAAAAGUCUGAAGCAAAGCCCAAUAUUGGCCCAAUUUACUAAAUUGGGCCCACCUCACCAAAUGGGCCUAGAUCCAAGGUCCAUAAUAAUUAGUGAGUCCAAAUUACUCCAUCCAUAAUGUCCAGUCACAGCCCAAGCCAUAUUAGCCCAAUAACAACCCAAUCUCUUAAGGCCCAAAAUGAAAACUCAACAGAGGGAGUACGUUGGGCGUUCCCUUCUUGGUAUGCUGGGUGUACAACAAUGCUCGCGGAUUGGAAUCAGGACACAGACCCACUACGUUGGGCGUACUCCCAUUUAGGCAGGGCGUAACCUCGCUGAACUACAACUCCACAUAAGAUCUUAAUGGCUUAAGCUCUUAAGCCCAAACUUCAGAUCCAUAGACAAAAUAUGCCUAGGAUUCAUAAAGUCUCAAACUUUAUUACUUGGGACGUCCAUAAACCUCUUAACCCAAGGUCUUAAUCCAUUAAGACCUACCUAUAUCACAUAUGAGACAACCAAAGCCCUUGGGACCUCAUUUUUCUUACUCAAGACCUCUCCUAAGGUCUGAAAGGACAACUAAUCUCGACCAACUCGAAUCAUGCAUCAAGUUGAGGUUUUUGGGACAAGAAUGGUGUUAAAACUUCACAACACAAAGAUCUAUACAAUAAGAUUGUCAAGCCAGAGACUUUUUACCUCAAAAGGGCUCCAGAAGAUGAUGCCUCUCCAGAUCUACGAGCUCCAGCCGCCCCACUCCUUCUUUGACAACUUAUGUUUUCUUCUUCUUGGUUUUCCUUUGCCAAAACAAGCUUUCCAAGGUCAACACACCCAACAAUGGAGGUGGAACGGCUAUCUAGGGUUUUCUGAGGGUAAGAGAGUGUUUAUGGAGGCUAGGGUUGGAACCAUAAUGUUCCUUAUAUAGUGGUUGACCCUAAAUUUAGGGUUUCUGGAUGAUAGACGUACGUUGGGCGUACAUCCAGUACGUUGGGCGUACGUCGAGAGACCUCCGCGUUCAUUUACUCCAUUACGUUGGGCGUACCUAGCCAAACACGUGCAUGAAUGCUUGGCAUGCAUGGGACCCCUUUGCUAAACUUCCCCCUUAGGGACCAUUGUUGUCAAUAUCUUCAAUUUACAACAUAUCCUCCAUCCUAAGUUCGUUCCCGACGAACUUUAUAUCCACAUAAAGGGGCGCGAGAAGACCUACGCUUCUAGUGACACACCCCGACCCGAAAACCCAUUUCGAAUAAACCCAAUACCCAUAAAAAGACCGAAACGCCCUUACUCUUGAUCUCGGGAACCCAUAAAUAGAUAUUUUAAGAACGGAGCGUUACAGAUAUUGAUUGGGAUGUUGUACAAGCAUUUAUGGUUUUUGCUAAGGUGUUUUAUGAAGUGUGAAAUCGGUUUUCGGGGUCUUUGUAUGUAACUUUUCGUGCUUACUUUCAUGAUAUGUGUUCAUUGCAUAGCCAUAUUCAUGAAUGCAUUAAAAGUGAUGGCGGGUGAGUUCAAUGGCUAUGAAUAUGAAAGCAAAGUAUGAUAAAUAUUGGGAAAAUGCAGAAAAGAUGAAUUCUAUAUUGUAUGUAGAUGUUGUUUUUGAUCCUCGAUACAAAUUAAAAUAUGUCAAUUGGAGUUUGGAAGAAAUAUAACCUAUCGGUGAUAUUGCAUGUGACUUGAAAAAAAGUUAAAAGCCACUUUGAAUCGACUUUAUGUCUUUUAUUUGGAAAAAGAUCCUAUGCAUGCCAAAAUUCUUCUUCAAACAAGAAUCAUAACAAAAGAAAAGUUAAUGAGAAUCUUAACAUACAAGAGAAACGUAUGCUAAAAUAUAAGGAACAUUUGGAAGAUGAAAAAAAUAGGAGAAUUGAGUGAGCUUGAAAGAUAUUUGUCAGACAAUCAAGAGCCAAGUUAUGAGUCAUUUGACUUGUUGGAUUGGUGGAAGACAAAUAAAGCAAAAUAUUGUAUUUUGGGAAAAAUUGCACGCGAUGUCGUGGUUGUUGCAGUUUCUAUAGUUGCUUCGGAAUCCACAUUUAGCACAUGGGGUAGAGUUUUGGAUUUAUUUAGGAGUAGUCUUUCUCCUAAAAGAGUGCAAGCGCUUGUAUGCACACAAAAUUGGAUUUGGGGUGUGUUUAACAAAACUGCAAAAGUUUGUUAUGAAGAUGUGUUGCAAGAAAUUGAAGACCUUGAAGAAAUUCAAAAUAGUAAGAUUUCAGAUGUUAAAAAGUUUUAUAUCUCUUUGUUAUUAUUUUUUACAAAAUAUAACCUGUAUUUCAGGUUUUGCAAGCGAACUUAGUAUUUGCGCCGACAAUAUCGAUUGAAAGAUACUUUUCUUCUCAUGGUCUUAUAUUGAACUUUUGGUGUGAUGUUUUAAUAUUGAGUUUUUUGAACAAUAAACACAUAUGAAUUGGAUGACAUUUUGGAAGUGGAUAACAUUUUGGAAGUGAGCUUGCGGAUAAUGGAAAAAUAUUUGUGGUUUGUGUGUAUCGGUCUGAUGUUUGAUGUAAUGGAACAAUAUUUGUUAUUUUUAUUUACUGUUUUGGAUGGUUUUUAGGUUGCAUGAAUAGAUACAAAUGCUUGACGUAAUAGAAAGAUUUUAAAAAGUUUUAACAACUUUAAUAUGUUGUUUUUUUAACAAUUUUUUGCAGUUUUCUGGCAAUUUUGAUAGCUUUAAUGUUGUUUUUUUGGCAGAUUUUUUGACAGUUGUAACAAUAUAGCAGUUUUUUUUAACAAUUUAAUGUACUCGACAAAAAAUGAGCCUAAAAAGCCCAAACCGUGAAACUAAACCAGAACCAAACCGUUAGUAACAAUUUGAUUUUGUUUGGUUUUAAUUUUUAAACGGUUCCGCUGCGGUUUUUGAUCGAAAAAAAAAACUGUGAAGACCUCUAAGUAGAGGUUCGUUUUGUAUCAAUAUUAAUAAUAAUUUUUUAGUAGCUUCUUAUUAUCAUUAUAAAAUUAAUAGAAAAAUAAAAAGAAAUAAACACAAGUCAUGAUUACAAUAAUUUAAAAUAUAAUAUUGUUAUUUUAAAAAUAUAUUUUAAUUGCAUUUGUUUAUUUGAUAAUGAUAUCCAUCCCUUUAAUAAUGUAUACAACCGGGAUACCAGUAACUUAUGCACUUUCAAUAAAUUAACAUGCUUUCGGAAAAAAAAAUUGUAAAUUUGUAUUUGUAUGUAUAUAUACAUGCAUAUUUCCAACAAAGCAACACCGCUAACCAUGGCUUUUUCUGCACUCUCCCUUAUCCUUUUCUGCUUCAUCUUCAUAUCAUUCGCCAUCUCCGACGCCGUUGUUCCCCCCGCCGACACUUUUCGGUAUAUCAACCAAGGCGAUUUUGGAGAACUCGAUUCCGAAUAUGCCCCAACCUAUCGUCCUCUUCCUCCAUACACCUUCCCUUUCCAGCUGUGUUUCUACAACACCACCCCCGGCGUCUACACUCUCAGUCUCCGCAUGGGAACCAGACGUGAUGAAGCGGUCAUGCCAUGGGUGUGGGAUGCCAACAGAGGCAACCCAGUUGGCGAAAACGCCACCUUCUCAUUAGCCUCCGACGGAAACCUUGUACUCGCCGACGGAGAUGGACGGAUCGCAUGGCAAACCAACACCGCCAACAAGGGUGUCGUCGGUUUUGCCAUACUCUCCACCGGUAACAUCGUGCUUCGUGACUCCAAGGGUGGUUUCGUCUGGCAAAGCUUUGAUUCACCAACUGAUACUCUCUUGUUUGGUCAAUCUCUCCGGAUCCGAGGUCCGACGAAACUCGUCAGCAGAGCUUCAACGACGAACAACGUUAACGGAGCGUAUAGUUUCGUGAUAGAGCCAAAAAGAUUGGGUUUGUAUUAUAAGAACAUGCUUUACUGGGCUUCCACGUUUCCGGCGUAUCCGGAAUUGAACCAACCAAAUGUGACUAUUGUUAAUGCAACAUUCGACAUCGUGGAAACCGAAUACAAUAACGACUUUAACGCAAUUAGGUGUCAUCUUUCAAACUCUAAUGCUCAACCUUAUCUGGACAUGGACAUACUCCGAUUCAAUAACACGUUAUCCUAUAUCCGAUUAGGCAUCGAUGGGAACUUACGACUCUACUCUUAUCGUCCUCCGAAUAUCCGUUUUAGCCAAUGGAGUCUGGUGUUUAGAUUGUUCGAUAACAGGGAGACCACGAGGCAGGGUUUAUAUGAAGACGAGUGCCAACUGCCUGAACGCUGCGGCAAGUUUGGGCUGUGUGAGGACAGCCAGUGUGUUGGGUGUCCAUCGCCGGAGGGUGUUUUUGCGUGGAGCAAAAACUGCAACGUGAAGACGCCGUCUUGUAAAGCUGGUGGUUCUCGUUACUACCAGCUCAAAGGGGUCGACCAUUUCACCUCUAAAUACUCUGCGGGGACUGGGCCGAUGAAGCAGAAAGAUUGCGAGAGUAAAUGCACAAAGGACUGUAAGUGUAUGGGGUAUUUCUAUCGCACUGAUCUAUCGAGGUGUUGGAUCGCUAACGAGUUAAAAACUUUGACGAGGGUUGGGAACUCGACUCAUUUGGCGUACAUCAAAACACCCAUCCAGUAGUUGGAUAAGUCUACUAGGAAGAGGGAAUAAGGAAGAUGAAAGAUUUGAAGAAAUAGCACUGUUUACCUGCUUUUCUUAUUUUUACCUUCCAUUGUGUGUUUGUAUCGAAAUCAAAGAGUCUAUGUGGUAUACUUUUUAAGAUGUAAAACGCUUUGGUAUGCGUAACACAUUUGCAGAAGAGUAAUGUGUUUCCAGUCUACAAGAAAAAAGAUCGAUUAUUUAUUAAAUUCUACAACGACAUAAAAAAGGGUAGCUGCUAUUUGUAUACACCUCUAGGGAAUGAAAGACGAGAUCACAUCAAUCAUCGUGGUCUUUCUAUAAAUUUUAUAAGGUAGGCUAAAUUUUUUUUCUUAUUUUACCAUUUAGACGCCCUUAAUUAAUUUUAAAUUUUUUUUUUAUUGUCGCCAGAACAAAUGCUAUCAGAAAAGUUAAAAACCCUGUCGCAUGGUAUAGAUACAUGUGGGAUAUUAUUGGAAAAUAGAGAACAUAAUUUUUGGAGUUUCGGUUUUUUGGGCUAAAUUUAGGGUAGAGUGUUAUAGAUGAUUCCUGAUUGGUUAAUAAGGCUGGGGGAAUUGGAGUCACCGAAAAUGCAUUCCUUCUCCCAUCACAUAAGCGUCAUGUCAUUUUUUACCACUCAAAUGUGGUUUCUUGCCACAUCAAGUGUGUAGUGCCACACUUUUCAUUUCUUUUAUUUUUUUGUUUUUUUUAAGUAUUUUAAUUUAAUAAAACUUCCUUUUUUUAACUAUUUUAAUUUAAUAUAACUUAUAUUUUAAUAACAAAAACAUAAUUUUUCAUUACUUAAAAAUUAAAAAAAAAAAACACUAUAUUACGUUACUAAAAAAAACCCAUACAUAUGACAUUUAAAUAAUCUUAGAAACUUAAAAAACAUAAAUAAAAUAACUAAAGCAAACUACAUAAAGUCAUUCUCCGAGAACUCGUCUUCGGGGUCAUCCGGUGAAUCCAAAUUAAGGUUAAUGUUUUGAACCCUAUAAAUGUUUUCCAAGUCAUUGCGAAGAUUGUAAAAUGUUUCAGUGCAAUGUAUCUUUGCUCUCCUGUUUAUAUACUCUUCGCCACCAAUUUCUAUUGGCUAUGUCUCUGGUAUGGUUUCUUCUUCGUCAAACUCACAUAUCGCUUUUCCUUCGUCUUCAUUAAUCAUGUUAUGCAAUAUAAUACAUGUAUAUAUGAUUUCUUGAAGUUUUUCCUUGCCCAAAUAAGUUGUUGGUUUUUUCAAUAUGAACCACCGUUUCUUCAGAGCUCCAAAGGCACGCUCAACAUCUUUCUUAGCUCUUUCUUGAGCUCUCUUAAAUUUCUUUUGUCAAGAACCAUGUGGAGCUGAAAACGGUUUAACAAACACAGCGUACUUAGGAUAGAUUCCAUCGACCAGAUAAUAACCAUACUUAUAUGGCGUUCCACGCACUUGAAAAGAAGAAUCUGGUGCGAAUCUAUCGUAUAUGUUGUUAAAUAUUAAUGAACGGUUAAGAACGUUGAUGUCGUUAAUCGAACCAAGAGAACCAAAAAAAGCAUGCCAAAUCCACAUAUCUUGUGAUACAACUGCUUCAAGUAUGACCGUUGGGUGACCAUGAUCACCUCGGGUAAAUUGCCCAUAAUAUGUUGUAGGGCAAUUUUCCCAUGCCCAAUGGAGACAAUCUAAGCUUCCUAGCAUUUCAAGAAACCCAUGCACACUAGCAUGAUGAGCUUGCAAUUGCAGGAUGUCAUUACGUGUAGGCUUACGUAAAUAUUUUGGACCAGAAAACUGAAUCAUAGUUUUGCAGAAAAAAUGGAGACUGUCUCGUGCUAUCCUAGCAGACAUCCUAAAACUUUCGUCUAGCGCAUCAGGCGGAAUUCCAUAUGCUAACUGACGAAGUGUGCCCGUGCAUUUUUGUAAGAGAGUGAAACCGAGUGUACCUCUAGUAUCGUAGCGUUGUUGGAAAAAACUACACUCCCUCGUUACAUCGUCAACUAUACGUUCGAAUAAACCUUUGAGCAUUCUGAAGCGCCUACGAAAUACCUUGGUAAGUGGCAUUCUCUGCAAAAUAUUCUUGCACCAGACGUUGGUUGACUUCUUCACGAUUUCUGUAAAUAUAUCUUCGUGUUCUCUGUUGAGAACUUACAGCUGCGUUGUUACAUACAACGUUGUAUGUUUGUUCCGCCAUUUAAACACACGCAAUAGCGAUAUCAAAAAUAGUCUGAAAUUCUUCAGAAGAUGAAGAAGAUGACAUUUUUGAGAGAGUGGUGAUUUAAAUUUUUUUUUUUUUUUUUGAGAGAGAAAGGAGAUUGUGUUGUAAAAAAAAAGAUUAAGUUGAUAUGUAUAUAUAUAGAAAAGAAAAAGCAAAAGAAAAAAAAUUAAAUGCUCAACGUCAAUCCUUCCCAACUUCCCUCAACCAAUCAGAACACACGGUCUUAGAGAACCGCACUAUGGCCAAGAUUGUACUAGACCGCGGUCUGAAAACGGUGUUUCAAUACUACGUGGCAUAAAGUGCGGUCUGGAACGGUACCCGCACCGUGAAGCCUAAGUAAAGCAAACGGAUUUUGACGGACACACGAACCCGCGAUACUAGUAACUAUUACCUUUUCAUUAAAUUAACAUUCUUUCAUAAAGAGAAUAUAAAAGUCUAUAUAUAUGCAUAUAUAUCCGACAAGGCAACACAGUAACCAUGGUUUCUUCUCUCUCCCUUAUCCUUUGCUGCUUCAUCUUCAUAUCGUUAUCCAUCUCCAACGCCGUUGUUCCUCCCGCCGAUACUUUUCGGUAUGUCAAUCAAGGCGAUUUUGGAGAAUUCGAUUCCGAAUACGCCCCAAACUAUCGUCCUCUUCCUCCAUUCACCUACCCUUUCCAGCUCUGUUUCUACAACACCACCCCCGGUGUCUACACUCUCAGUCUCCGCAUGGGAACCAGACGUGAUCAAGCAGUCAUGCCAUGGGUGUGGGAUGCCAACAGAGGCAACCCAGUUGGCGAAAACGCCACCUUCUCAUUAGCCUCCGACGGAAACCUUGUACUCGCCGACGGAGAUGGACGGAUCGCAUGGCAAACCAACACCGCCAACAAGGGUGUCGUCGGUUUUGCCAUACUCUCCGAUGGUAACAUCGUGCUUCGUGACUCCAAGGGUGGUUUCGUCUGGCAAAGCUUUGAUUCACCGACUGAUACACUCUUGUUUGGUCAAUCUCUCCGGGUCGGAGGUCCGACGAAGCUCGUCAGCAGAGCUUCAGCGACGAACAACGUUAACGGAGCGUAUAGUUUCGUGAUAGAGCCAAAAAGAUUGGGUUUGUAUUAUAAGAACAUGCUUUACUGGGCUUCCACGUUUCCCGAAGUGAACGACCGAAAUGUGAAUAUUGUCAAUGCAACAUUGGAAAUCCAGAGAACCGAAUACGAAGAAAACUACUUUAAUGCGCUAAAGUGUCGUCUUUCAAACUCUGAAGCUCAACCUAAUUUGGACUUCGACAUACUCCGAUACAAUAGCACGUUAUCAUAUCUCCGAUUAGGCAUCGAUGGGAACUUAAGACUCUACUCUUAUCGUCAGAAUGUCCGUUUCAGCUCAUGGAGUCUGAUGUUCACUUUGUUCACUAGAAGGGUGAGCGAGAGGGGAGAGAUAGUUGAAGACGAGUGCCAACAGCCUGAUCGCUGCGGCAAGUUUGGGCUGUGUGAGGACAGCCAGUGCGUUGGGUGUCCGUCGCCGGAGGGUGUUUUUGCGUGGAGCAAAACUUGCAACGUGAAGACGCCAUCUUGUAAAGCGGGUGGUUCUCGUUACUACCAGCUCAAAGGGGUCGACCAUUUCACUUCUAAAUACUCUCCGGGGAGUGGGCCGAUGAAACAGAAAGAUUGCGAGAGUAAAUGCACAAAGGACUGUAAGUGUAUGGGGUAUUUCUAUCGCACUGAUCUAUCGAGGUGUUGGAUCGCUUACGAAUUGAAAACUUUGACGAGGGUUGGGAACUCGACUCAUUUGGCUUAUAUCAAAACACCUAUUCAGUAGCUCUGUGGUGCACGAGAAACCGGGAACAAGGAAGGUGCACUGUAUAGUUGCUUUUAGUAAAUUCUGACCUUCCAUUGUGUCUUUGUAUCGAAAUCAAAUAAUAUUCUUGUUUUGAUUUAUAAAAAAUUAGGUUAUAUGAGAUAACCGUUAUAUAUAAAUAAUAUUUAAAAUGAUUAAAAAAAUAUUUUUAUUAAAUUCAUCAUUUACAACCAACUUAUAAAAUAUAGCAGAUGUGCAAGAAAAAGAAAAAAACUUUUUUGAAAUAGUAUGUAAGAUGGUGCCGUAAAUAAUGCGAAUUAAUUUAAUAGAAGGAUUUGACUUAUAAUGGUAAGUUUAUCAUAAGAUUUAUGCUUAAAAUUUGAUUUUUUUUUUUUUAAAUCUAGAUGCAACCUUGGGAGGUUGUAAUUAAUUUACGACGGAAUAACAAAUCUAUUUAUAUAAACAAAAUGUAUUUUUAUAAACAAAACAUAAGUUUAUUAUUAUUAAUUUUAUCUUUUUUUAUCCACAUUGUGUCAAUAAAAAUAGUGUAUAAAAAACGUAUAAUUGGGUUUAAAAAAUUUCUUCUGUUUAUUGUAUUCGCCGAAUAAAAUAAACAACAUUAUGGAACCAAAAGUCAAUAUUGAAUUGCUCGUUAAUUUGUAGGUGGAGUCGGUUCAAGGAAAUAACAUCCUACUUUCAAUAUUACAACUAAAAAACAAAUAUCGAUUUGAGUAUUUACAUUUAUAUUCUUGAAAGACACCCUUUAUGUCAUGUUUAUAUAUUCUAUUUUCUUUUAAAAUUGUUAAACUAACAAUAUACGUUUUUUUUUAUUAUCACAAAUAUGUUGAACACCAAAAAUUUGUCAUUUUAACCAACCAAUAAGAGGGAUGUACACUAACUUGGAAUAUUUCAUUUGAAAUGACUUAUUGAUAGAUAUAGCAGAGAAUGUUUUAAAUGUUAACCGAACUAUAAGGCCGGACGGAGUGGGAUGAGGGGAAGGAGCGGGAACCGAUCCCGCACUUGUGCACACCGCACCGUGGGUGCGGGAAAGGAACCGUGGGAAGACAGUGGGGGGAGAGAGUCCCGCUCUCUCUCUCUCUUCUAACCAUUGGCCGACGAUUUUUUUUUCUUUUUUACUCAAACGGCUAUAUAGCCGUUACAUAUGUAUAUAUUUAUUUAUUUUUUUUCUUUUUUCCUUCUUUUUUCUUAAUCUAUAAAUACUCAAACAUUUUAUCAUUUUUUUAAACCAUAAUCUAUAUUUCUCUAUAUUUCUCUCUAAAAAAUAUUACUCAAAAUGUCAUCAUCUUCAUCAUCCGAUUUGACGGCAGUAGAGAAAGCUAAGUUUAUCGGUUCCUUCAUGGUGAAAACGGUUGCAUACUAUCAAAACCAACUUGGUGAAACAUCACGUGCACGACCUAACAUAAGAAAGCCGCCAUUACGUAGAAAUCACGAAGCCGGACACGAUCGUUUUAUAGAAGAUUAUUUUGUAGAUGACGCCGUCUACGCUGUAAAGUUUCGACGUCGGUUCCAGGUGAGGAAUGAACUAUUUUUACGUAUUGUUGGCGAUGUGGAAGGCCGCUUUCCAUAUUUCCAAUGGAAAAUGGAUACAAGGGGAAAAAAAGGUUUCUAUCCCAUUCAAAAAUGCAUGGCUUAAAUUCGUCAGCUAGCAUACCACAUGGGCGCAGACAAAUGGGACGAUUAUUUUAAGAUGUCAGAGCGUACCGUGAGGGACUCUGUGUACAAGUUCUGCAAAGUGAUAUGUUUGGUUUACGGGCAACGAUAUUUGCGCAAACCAACUAUCAACGAUAUCCACCAAUUGUAUACGGUGCAUGAAGGCAAACAUGGAUUCCCUGGAAUGCUAGGUAGUAUCGAUUACAUGCAUUGGAGUUGGUCAUUAUGCCCCAACGCAUGGCGUGAUCAGUACAUGAGAGGCGAACAUAAAGAGUCGGCGAUCAUUCUAGAGGCUAUCGCAUGACAUGAUCUUUGGAUAUGGCAUGCAUUCUUUGGUCCAACUGGUGCAAACAUUCUUUUUGAGAUAAAGGAAUGAGUGUUUUGGAUGAUUAUGACCUUUCCAGCCAUGCAAAGGCUGAAAGUUGUGAACUUUAUGGAGUAAGAGCCUUUGGGGAGUCCAUAUCUGAGAUAUGAGCUAAGGUCGUAACAGGUUAAGACCAAGUGAGUGAAUUAAGCAAAGCUGGGCAUACGCCCAACAUAAUUCCAAUACGCCCCCGUGUAUUGGGUUGGUGUACCCGAUCAUAUCUGGUGCAUGCUCGUGUACGCUGAGCGUACAAAGGGAGGUACGCCCCGCGUAACUUGCCUGCGGGCUUUUGGGUUAAAUUUCAUAUGGGCCAUAAAGGGUUGGUCCUGAAUCCUUGGAUUGGUGCAGAAGAGACUUUGAGCAUAGAAAUAUUUUUAUGCCUUAGGCCCUUGAGUAGGGCUUGUCCCUUGGACUUGAGAGUUGGGCCUCGGGAGAACCCAUUUAUUAUUGGGCCUUGGUGGGCCCAAUGGGUUUAGAUCAUUGUUGGGUUGGUUAGUGGACUACUUUUAGACCUAAUGAGUGAGAGUUUGGACUUAGUUCCUAAUUGGGAUAAUUUUGGGUUUUGGCACAGAGUUAGUGGCCGGUGCGUAGCAGCAACGUUUAGGGGUUGUUCAUCAUCCGAGGUGAGUCUUCUCACUAUACUUUACCUAGAGUGGUACUUAUGUGUGAGCAGAGGGUCUUAUGUGCUUAAAUUGAGAAUUAUGUUAUCCUGCCUUAUGUGUUAGAUGUGCAUUAUGUCUUUGUGAUUUAUGCUAUGUGGAGCUUUACAGACCGGACCAGAGGGUCCAACGAGUUGUGAGACCAGGAGGUCCUCAUUUAGACCGGACCGGAGGAUCCAACGAGCUGUGGGAAUGGAGGGUCCCACUGAUACACAUUGACCGGAGGGUCUAUAGAGAUAUAGCCUUGAGUGGCUAAUUAUUUGUGCGUGGUAUUUUGGGAAACUUGCUAAGCUUUGUGCUUACCGUGUUAUGUGAUAUGUGUUUCAGGUUUCCUCAGGAUCGCGGGAAGGCACCGGCUGGAUUGUACACACCAAAGAAGGAGUUAUGUUUUGAGGAUCCUGGAUUAUUAAUCAAAUAAUGACAUAUUUGUAUUUUAUAAAUUAAAUAAAAGAGAUUUUUAUGAUUUGUGUUAUGAGAAUUACGAGAUAUUAAAUGAAAAUUUGAUUUGAAAAUAUACGGUGUUAAAAGUUGCUAUCAGAGUCUUGGUUUGAGGGAUUUGGAUGCACCUUCAGGUAUAUCUGGACUCAAACUGAGGAUUUGAGAAAAAAUUUCAAAAGAAAUGAUUUUGUCUAAAACGAGCAAGAGUUUCUAAGAGAAAAACGAGAAAGAGCAGUGUAUACAAUCAGCCAGAGCCCGAACGGUGAUUUCCCUAAAUACCCUUACUUAUUUGUGUUAUGAGUUAUUAUUGAGGUAUUAUUUAUGCAUGUUAGAAGAUAGGCUAGGUAUUUCAUAUUUUAGGGCUAGAGUUGCCUGAAUUGUGAUGCCUUAGCCUAGGAAUUUUGCUAUCUGUGAUGUGUUUUGGGUAUGUGCGGAGUAAGAGUAUCCAGCAGGAAUAUUUCAGAGAUAGAGCUUCGAGUAGAGGAGUAAUCUAGGAGAGAUUUCUGGAUGAGCAUUGGAGGAGCCUAACGAGAGAGUAGUUAGAUGCCUGCAUGGGGUAGAGUUUCUUGAGUUCGGUGAAACCUGUUGAGUGUGAGUAGAGCCAAUGGAAUUGUAACCUAGAGUGGUUGUAUGUGUUGGUAGAGAAUAUUUGAUGCUCAAAUGCUGCUUUCUUCUUGCUUUGUGGAACUCAGGAUGAUGGGAGUCAGCUACUAAGUGAAUAUGACGAUAUUCAGGAGGCAGAUAGCUGACAUUAUUAGGGGUUCUUCAGCAGUUGAUGGUAGAGAAGUGAGAGUGCCCAAGAAGAGCCUAGUGAGUGACCUUAGUCAUAUGAGUAUGCUGAUAGAGGAGAUUAUUUGUUGGGGAGCAACCAAGUAUAUCAGAUUGGUGAUCGGGAAGGUUGAGCAGCUAGUUAGGAAAUCAGGGAUGGUCCGUGUGGAAAGUAUGGGUAGAUGUGGUAGGUAGUAUGGGCCGUACUACUAAAAGUAUAGGACCCAUACUCGAUACAGGGAGAAUUCCAGAGGUUCUAAGCAGCAGAUUGAGAGGAGAUCACAGGGUUCGAGUACCAUGAUUCAUAGCAGAUUGGGUGGGGGGUGAUCACAUGGUUCGAGUACCAUAAUUCGUGGCGGUUAGUGCUUCUGGUUUUACCAGUUGGCCAUGGUGGUUGAGUAGUUUAAGAUCAGGUGAUAGAGUGUGGGGACAGAGGGCCAGGUUGAGCAAGUCUUAAUGGAGAAUACCUUGAGAGAGAAAUUGAGUUCCUUUCCGAGAGAUUUUAUUGGUGAGAUGCCAGUUGGAACCGUAAUUCUCAGGGAUGAGUAGAGAUGAUGUUUUUGGAGGAACAUGGUUUGAAUCGAGCCAUCGGCUAAUGGAUGAGACGUCACUUUCUAUGGCAAGAGUUGCAUUGUUUCCGUUUCCUAGGAGAAGUGAAGGAGAUAUCAAGUUUUCGUUUUCAGAGUUUGGAGGUAGACCCCGUGGGGUACCAUUGGUGGCGACCAUUUCAUCAGAAUAUUUGAGCAGUUUGUCUGCUGCGAGGUAUUUCUUGUACCAUGGAAUCAGUAGUGGAUGACGAGAUGGAAGAGACUCAGGAAGGUGAUAUCUGAGUAUGGCAUGCAUUUAGAAGCAGUUUCAGGUAGUUAAGAGAAAUAUAUCGGGGGCGGUGACCCUCGUUGUUAUAUUGAGUAUCGGUUGUGAGGGUGAGGUCUCGGGCAUUAAUGUUGAUUUCCGUGUUAGGAGACUGGUCGAGAAGUCAAAGACAAGGGGUGUGAUAGAGCAUUAUUUCCGUACCGAGGGUCAGAGAUAUUUCGGAACACUUGGGUAUCCGGCGGUGUGUUAGUCAGAGGUUCGAGAUGACUAGAGGCAGUCACGAUUGGGAGAUUUUGAGAUCCUUGUUUGAGUUACGGGAUUUGAAGUUGCUGGGUUUCCAUCAGAAAGAUCAUUAAGCAUUUGCAUGGUACGUUCCAAGAGUCGAGAGUGAUGUGCCUGGUGAUUGUUCAAACCCUGAGUGGGGGAGAACUAGGUAUUCAAUAAAGCAGAUCAACAACUCAUUAUGGUACUAUUGGUUAUGGAAAUAUAUGGUGCGGACACAUGCAACCUAGGAUGAUGUAUGAGUAUGUACUUAAGGAAGGAUGAUUGAAUCCACGGCAGGGGUCAUUGGUCAGAGAACUUAUUAUGGCUAGAGGUUUUUCGGGUUGCAAAUGAUGAGUUCGAGGCGGAUGAGUCGUUGAGUUCAGGAAAAAAAGCUGAGAUUUGCGGGUAUGGGUAUAGAUUGUGGUCUAUACUCUGGAAGAAGGCAAGAGUGAUUGUUAACCAAUUUGAGAGUCGGUUGGAGUAGUUUCAUAUGAGUAGUGAUCAGUAGAGGGACGAGCUUGGAUUUCGUCAACGUGUUCUGAGCCAUUGUCGACAUCUCUGUGUUUCAAAUUCAGAAAUGGAAUAUUCUGAGGUGAUAAGAAGUUCGAGAAGAAGAUCGAUUGCAAGAUUUUGAAAGAGAAACGCGAUAUUUGAGUAUGAUGCCGAGAUUAUGGGGUCGGUGGUUAAGGCAAAACAUUAUGAGGUUCUUUGAUGGUGUACCGAGGCAACCGAGUAUGAUGUACUAACUUUCAAGUCAUAUUAGGACUCGAGUCGUGAGAAGGCGGGUGGAGUACCUUGUGAUUUUAUUCCAAUACGGAAACCAUCAGUUAAUUGUCGUUGGAGUGAGACUGUAUAAGGGUGUAUCUGUGUUGAGCCUAGUACCUUGCCUGUGAGAACUUGUAUCGAAAGUGGUGAUACAUAAGUUGGGUGAGUGUAAGCACUUAUCUAUAUGGAAUUGCAGAGCAUGAUUGGUGAACUAAGUGUGGUGAUAACUUGCAAACGAGAUCAUGAGGGAUAAGAGAGCAAGUGAUCUGAGUGGGGAGUAUUCACUUGGGAUUAUCAGGAGAAACCGUGGACUGAGCCCUUGGUGAGUCAGUGAGCGAGAUAACGUUAUAGCACUACGGGGAGCCGUAGUAUCCAUGAGUCAGUGAAAGAGAGUGUCGUGUUACUACGAGGACCCGUAGUAUUCACGGGAUAGUGGGAGAGGGCUGUAAUACUACGGGGAGUUGUGGUAUUCAUUAGUCAGCGAGAGAGUGUCGUGAUACUAUGGGGAGCCAUAGUAUUUAUUGUUUAGAGAAAGAGUGUUGUGAUGCCACGGGGAGUCGUAGCAUUCGCGAGUCAGUGAGAGAGUGUUGCAAGCCUACGAGGGAGACUGUAGCGCUCAGUGGUCGAUGAGGGUGAAUACUUAUCAAUGGAGAGUUGUAGUAUUCACUACCCAGAGUAUGGCGCAGGGGAGUUCUUAGGCUUGGGUAGCCUUGCUACCUGAGUCUUCGGGAGCUUGGUUGCCAAACCAGGAGCGAGACAGGGGUCUCCAUUUCAGUUGGAAAUCAUUGUAUCCCUGGGUCGAGGAGGAUUAGCAUAGUUGGAAGGAAUCAGAGAGAUGGUGUGGGGGUAAUCUGCGAAUUAUGGGUCAUGAGUGAGUACUGGAUUUGAAAUGAGAGGUUCCAAUUUUGCUUUUGAAUCAGACUCUCGAGCUUGAGUCUGUAUCCAUUUGUGUUUUGAAUAAGUGAGGUGAGGUUUCGAAUCAGUUUCGUUGGUAUGAGAAGUACCGCGAGAUGCAAGGAACCAGUGAGUGGUAGACGACAACGGUUGGAGGUGAAGCGAACCCAGAUGAGUUGUAGCAUUCGCUUGGGGUGAAGCAAACCUCAUGAUUUGUGCAUCGCUAUGAGCCGGAUUGGUUAUUGAGAGUUGAAAAACCGGUAGGUCAUUUUUGGGGCAUGUAGUGAAUAACCUUGGAGGUUCCACUUGUUGGGUCAGAGACGACCUUAUUGCUCAGUGUUAGAUUGGACAAUCGGGAGAAACUGGGGCUUAUGUUUAAGAGUUGUGAGGAUCAGUCCUUAGUGGGUUAUAACCUUCCCAUUCUUUUGAGUUUGCCCGGGAUAGGUUAGAGAAUAAGAGUUAGUAGAGUGUUCUUCGAGCCUGUUAAUCGAUGAGUGAUUAGCAUGAUAUUUUUGGGAAGAUGGUAUGGCUGGGAGACAUACCACUAGAGUUUUCAGGUUCUAGAGAGUCAGGUCAAGAGUCAUAGCGACAGAUGGGUCCGUCCUUCUUCGAUUCGGGAAUGCUUGUUGGGAUCAGGUGACUUUGGAAUAAAUUGUUAUACGAAAUGAGGUCCUUUUUGGUGAUGUUUCUCAGGUUAUUAGUUUUGAUCUAUGUAUUGAUAAGUUGCGAUUUCGAGGGCCAAAUCUAAUUCAAGUGGGGGAGAAUUGUAACAUCCUGUUUCGGAUCAUCUGAGAUUAGGGUUUGUGGGCUGCAACACGGGAUUGAGGAAGUCUCGGGGUUGCGACGAGUUGUUAGAAGUGUGGGGUGUCUGAAAACCUUUCAGUGAGUAUGAGAUUCUUUGGAAUCGAAGUAAUAUCGAAGAAGAUAUGGAAGUUUGAAGAAUUGACAAGAUAAGUCCCUAAGUUGAGAAAUGUGGCAGCGGGGUAUGUUGGGCGUACGAAUGUGUACGCUUAGCGUACUCAUGCGCGUGACUUUUAAGAGGAGCCACCUAGUACACUGGGCGUACUAAGUACAGAAGGAAAAACACUAAUUGAGGAAUGUCCCUAUAUAAGGAAUGAGAUGGCCUCAUUCCUGGCCACCCUUCUCAGAUAAUAAACCCUCUAAAACCCUAAUCCAUCGUUUAUGGACCGUGUGAGAGCAUUUUCGAGCCUUGAGUGAUCUUGGUGUGUUCUUGGAGUAAAGAAGGAGCUUUGGAGAAGAAGGAGUGAGAAGUCCAGGCCUUGGAUCUGAGCAUAUCUGAGUUGGAAGCUUCAUAUAGAGGUAUAAAGCUUCAAUAUUUCUCACUCUUUUGUUUUGAGCAUCAUAUUAGUGUAUUUUAGGGUUUUGUCGCUAAAGGUGGAGACUUUAUGAGAUAGUGAACUCCAGAGGCUAUGAUAAACCCUUUUGAGUGUGAUUAAUAGUGUAUGGUCAUAAAAAUCCAAUCUUGGUCGUUGGAAUCAAGCCAUGCAUGAGUUAUGAGCUUUUUGAGAUAAACGAGUGAGUGCUUUGGAUGAUUGUGACCUUUCCAGCCAUGCAAAGGCUGAAAGUCGUGAACUUUAUGGAGUAAGAGACUUUAGGGAGUCCAUAUAUGAGAUAUGAGCUAAGGUCGUGAUGGGUUAAGACUAGGUGAGUGAAUUAAGCAAAGCUGGGCAUACGCCCAACAUAAUUCCAGUACGCAGGGGCGUACUGGGUUGGUGUGCCCGAUCAUAUCUGGUGCAUGCUCGUGUACGCUGAGCGUACAAAGGGAGGUACGCCCCGCGUAACUUGCCUGCGGGCUUUUGGGUUAAAUUUCAUUUGGGCCUUAAAAGGUUGGGCCUGAAUCCUUGGAUUGGUGCAUAAGAGACUUUGAGCAUAGAAAUAUUUUUAUGCCUUGGGCCCUUGAGUAGGGCUUGUCCCUUGGACUUAAGAGUUGGGCCUCGGGAGAACCCAUUUAUUAUUGGGCCUUGGUGGGCCCAAUGGGUUUAGAUCAUUGUUGGGUUGGUUAGUGGACUACUUUUAGACAUAAUGAGUGAGAGUUUGGACUUAGUUCCUAAUUGGGAUAAUUUUGGGUGUUUGCAUAGAGUUAGUGGCCGGUGCGUAGCAGCAACAUUUAGGGGUUGUUCAUCAUCUGAGGUGAGUCUUCUCACUAUACUUUACCUAGAGUGGUACUUAUGUGUGAUCGGAGGGUCUUAUGUGCUUACAUUGAGAAUUAUGUUAUCCUGCAUUAUGUGUUAUGAUGUGCAUUAUGUCUUUGUAAUUUAUGGUAUGUAGAGUUUUACAUAUCAGAAAAGAGGGUCAAACGAGUUGUGAGAACGGGAGGUCCUCACUUAGACUGGAUCGAAGGGUCCAACGAGCUGUGGGAAUGGAGGGUCCCACUAAGACACAUUGACCGGAGGGUCUAUAGAGCUAUAGCCUCGAGUGGCUAAUUAUUUGUGCGUGAUAUUUUGGGGAACUCGCUAAGCUUUGUGCUUACCGUGCUAUGUGAUAUGUGUUUCAGGUUUCCUCAGGAUCGUGGGAAGGUACCGACUGGAUUGCACACACAAGAGAGGGAGUUAUGUUUUGAGGAUCCUGGAUUAGUAAUCAAAUAAUGACAGAGAUGUGUUUUAUAAAUUAAAUAAAAGAGAUUUUUGUGAUAUGUGUUAUGAGAAUUACGACAUAUUAAAUGAAAAUUUUAUUUGAAAAUCUAUGGUGUUACAUCAGCCUCUGUACUCGGCUUCUGAGUUUUACUCAGUUUGGCAUUGCUCUGGAUCGGCAAGUCACCUUUCUUGGAAUUGUGCAUGUUGAACCUCUUCAACACCUUGUCCUAGUAGGUACUUUUACUAAGUUCAAUUAGUCUCUUUCUCCUGUCUCUUAAUAUGCUAAUCCCAAGAAUAUAGGUAGCCUCUCCGAGGUCCUUCAUAGCGAAACACUUCCUGAGCCAGGACUUCACCUCCUGCAGGGUCGGGAUGUCAUUUCCUAUGAGAAGUAUGUCAUCCACAUACAACACCAGAAAGCUAACUAGACUCCCACUAGCUUUGACAUAUACACAGGACUCAUCCUCGCUUCUCGAAAAUCCAAACUCUUUGACUGUCUCAUCAAAACAAAGAUUCCAUCUGCGAGAUGCUUGUUUCAAUCCAUAAAUGGAUUUCUCAAGCUUACACACUCUAUUAUGGUACUCAUCAUCGACAAAACCCUCUGGCUAACUCAUGUAAAAAUCCUCAGCCAACUUCCCAUUAAGGAAAGCGGUUUUGACAUCCAUUUUCCAUAUUUCAUAGUCAUGAAAUGCAACAAUGGCUAGCAGAACCCUAAUAGACUUAAUCAUUGCUACUGGAGAGAAGGUCUCAUCAUAGUCAACUCCCAGAGUUUGAGUAAAGCCCUUCGCAACCAAUCUCGCAUUGUAUGUGUGUACUUUCCCAUCCAUGUCGGUCUUCUUCUUGAAUAUCCAUUUGCACCCGACUGUCUUACGACCCGAUACAUUGUCAACCAAGUUCCAAACUUGAUUGUUAUACAUGGACUGAAUCUUCCUGUCCAUUGCCUCUUUGCAAUUAGCAAACUCGGGGCCUGCCAUGGCUUCCUUGUAGUUCUUGGGUUCAUCAAAAUUUACCAGUGUGCUAUCACUGAUAAAUGUAUCACCUUCUGUAGUAAUAUGGAAACCAUAAAACUCAAGUGGAACUCUAACUCUACUAGAAUGCCUCAGAGGUACAAACUCGUCAAUCGGCUCAACAGUAGCUUCCUCCUUAGUUUGAUCGCUAGUGUUUGAGGUUCCUUCACCGCUUGACUCUUGAAUUUAUUCAAGGUCAAUUUGCCUCCCACUGUCUCCUUGGCUUAUGAGCCCUCUCUCACGAAAGACUCCUCUCCUCACAACGAAGACGACAUUGUUGCUCGGUUUGUUGAAGAGAUAACCAAAGGAUUUAUGUGGGUAGCCGAUGGAAAUACACCGCUCACUAUGAGGUUCGAGCUUUUCAUGAGUCUCGUGUCUCACAAAAUCCUCGAAAACCCAAACCUUGAUGUGUGCUAACGAGGGGGCUUUCCUUGUCCACAUCUCGUGAGGUGUUUUGGCAACCUUUUUAGUUGGGACUCGAUUAAGGAUAUGGGCGAUAGUCUCUAAGGCAUACCCCCAGAAUGAGAUUGGUAACGAAGAUCGGCUCAUCAUGGAAUGAACCAUAACCAACAAGGUUCGGUUGCGCCUCUCAGCCAUACCAUUAAGUUGUGUUGUUCUAGGUGGCAUCAACUGUGAAACAAUUCCACACUCCUUAAGAUAGUCUAGGAACUCAAUACCAAGAUACUCACCACCCCGAUCGGAUUAGAGCAUCUUUAUGUUCCUGCCCUGCUGAUUCUCCAGUUCUUGCUUAAACUCUUUGAAUUUCUCAAAGGUUUCUGACUUAUUCUCGAUCAAGUAGAUAUAGCCAUAUUUGUUGUAAUCAUCAGUAAAAGUGACAUAGAAGCGGUUAGCAUCCCUUGUGGUGGUUCUGAAGGGCCAACAUACAUCAGUGUGUAUGAGAUCCAACAAAACCUCACCCCUCUCACAAGUAUCAGUGAAGGGUGAUUUAUUCAUCUUUCCAAGCAAACAAGAUUUCCAAGUCUCAUCCGACCUUAAGUCGAAUGACUCCAAAAAUCCAGCCUUCUAGAGUAGGCCUAUGUGCUUCUUGUUGACAUGUCCAAGACGACAAUGCCACAAGGAUGCCUUAUCCAAAUCAUUAGAAGAAUUGAUAUGCAACACAUUAUUUUCUAAGUUGUCUAUAACCAUCACAGUUUCAUAUAGAACAUUACAAGGUAAUGCUCUAAAAUAAAAAUAAAAUACCAUUAUAAUAAGCAUUUAUUGCACCAAUUUCAUUAUCAAACGAAAUGUGAAACCUUGUUUGUACAAACCAUGAAAGAAAAUAAUAUUUCUCACCAUAUCAGACGAGUAGCAACAAUUAUUCAAAUCUAUUUCUAACCCAUUACUAAGCAAUAAAGAGUAAACUCUAAUCUUGGUGACAGGUGAAACCUUCAUAUACCCCAUGAUCAAGUUUAUCUUCCCGUGAUCCAGAUCCUUACUUCUUUUUAGGCCCUGCACAUCAGAACAAAUGUGAAAUACACAACCUGUGUCAAGCACCCAAGAGUUAGUAUGUGAUGAGUUUUUAGAUAGAAUAGUAUAAAUACCUUCAUGGGUGGGUUUGACUUUCUUGUCCUUAACAUCCUGCAAGCUUCACUUCCAGUGCCUAUUUUCAUGGCAGUAGAAACACUCUGCUUCUUUGGGAAUGGAAGAGGGAGUAGCAGGACUAGCCUUGGUCCCACUUGAAAAGGAUCCAUCAAUGGACUUUCCCUUGCGGCUCUUGGAGGGAGCCUUCCUCUUCUUCCCCUUUCAUUGCCUAAUUGAGAGCACAGGGGUAGUGGUAGUAGGAAUAGUAACAAACGAAUUACCUUUGAGACCUAUUUCGUAGUCCUCAAAAGUCCUUGAAGUUUGUUAAGUGUGACCUCCUCCUUGUUCAUAUGAUAGGUCAUGCAUAACUGAUCAUAACAUGGAGGUAAGGACUGUAGUAUGAUAUUAAUAGCCAUUUCCUUAGGGAAGUUCACAUUCAACUUUAGCAAUCGGUCCACAAACCUUUGCAUUUUCUGCAAGUGGCCCGUGAUGGCUUCACCAUCCUUCAUUCUGGUUAUGGUCAAGGAAGAGAUGAUUUCAUAUCGCUCUUGACGAGCACUCUGAUGGUAUAUUUCCAUCAUAUCUUGGUGCAUCUCAAAAGGGUAGAAGUCAUCUUAGGACUUUUGGAGUUCAGGAGACACGGUGGCAAGCAUGAUACAGGCUACCUUAGUGGCAUCUUUUUCAUGUGCCCUAAAAUCAGCAAUCUCCUGAGGAGUAGCAACAGACUCGAUGGUUUCCUUCAGCUCCUAUUCAAGGACAUAUUCCUUGUCCUCAUAAAGAGUGACCAUCCUUAUGCUCCUAAUCCAGUCAUUGAAAUUAGUUACAUCAAAUAUAACUCUCCCAUAGAGGUUUGUGAGAGAGGAUUCGGUAGGGUUUGAGCCAGAAGCAGCAUUGUUGGAAGACAUCUGAAGAGAAAGAAACACAAAGUUUAGAUUAGAUAAGGAAUCCUUAAUAUAACACCCAAAAUGAAAUAUUAAGGCUAGGACCCAGCACAAUAUUUUACAAUUUGGAAGAGGCACUACAAGAAAAAGAGCCUUUUACGACGCGCAAACCACGACACUCAGUGAUUUAUGUUACGCAAAAGAGAGUGACAUUAAAGACGUGUCAUCUCUUCAAAAAAUUUAAGGAUUUAUGUCACGCAUUAUUGCGUGCCCUUAGGUUAGUGUCUCAUGUAAAGAAAAUAAAAACACGGAGUGCACUUGUGCGUCCACUAACAGUGUCGCUUUAUAAUUAUUUAAUGAAACACGCCUUUUAGGCGGGACUUAUCAAACACGGAGGAAAAAAAAAUCCCCAAAAUUUUGGAAGACCCGCUCAUUCUUUCCUCUCCACUGCCGAUGACCUUCAAUUUCUCCCCUCCUUCUCUCUGUAAAACCUAGCAGCCGCCACCAUCAGAAACAUUGGCUUCGUUCUGUGUUGUAAGAACGCGAGUCUGAUCCUUCAUUAAUAUCUAAAGGGGGAAAAUCCCCAAAAUUUUGAAGAACCCCGCUCACUCUCUCCUUAGAUCUCCACCCGACGGAUCGACCUUCAUUCUUCCCCCUCUCUGUAACACCCUCGCUUCCUUCAAGAAAUCGAGGACCAUUCUCUUUCGAUCGUAUCUUUAUGGUGACGAUUAGACACAAUAAUCUCAACAUAAAAUUGGUAACUGAACCCCUCUUCACCUCUACCCUACUCCAUCUACAACGAAUCCUCACAUUUACAAACCCUAGUCCAGUUGCGCUUCUAGCCUUGGUGUUAUUUCUUCAUCUGUUCAGCAAAUAAGGGGAACACAAAUUCUCAUUAAUCCCUCAACUUCAUCUUCUCAAUCAAGCAAAAAGGAUUCUGAUUUUUUUUCGUGCAUCUGCAUCAUCUCUGCUGCAAUUUCACAUGGUAUUAUCGCUUUCUCCUUUAUGCCUCCCAUUUUUCUUGCAUCUACUUCUCAAACUUUUGAUAUUUUCCUGCAUUCGCAAGUCAAACUUCUUAUUUUUUGCUUGCAUCUUCUUCUCAAUUAAGCACAAAAGUAUCACAUUGUUUUGCAAUUGAUGUGAGUUUAUAGUUGCAUCAUUUUUUCUUUUUGUGCAGCGAGCUUUACUUGCUGAGCCAGCUGCUCGAUUAGAAAUGACACCAAUGGUCUGCUCAUUAUUUAUAUCUCUCUCAACUCUCAACUCUCAAGCGUCUUUGAUUUAUUUUGCGAUAAUAUUUACCAUUUUGUCCUUGGCUCAGGCUGCUAAUGCUGCUUGGAACAUGGGGGAGUGGGAUCAGAUGUCUGAGUAUGUAUCUAAACUGGAUGAUGGUGAUGAAAGUAAACUCAGGGUGUUUGGGAACAGUUCUGAAUGCAAUAAAAAUUGCAUCCAGAUCAUCUGCAACCCCAAAAAAGGCCUGAAGAGCAAGGAAGUGUUUGGCAACUGAGCUUGCUGCUCUGGUUAGUUUCCAAAUUCCAACAUCAAACCAUAAACCCUAAACCCAUGUGUGUACUGACUAUGUUAAAAUGUCUCUGAAUUAGAAGAGGUAUUCUUAUUUCCUUUAAUCAUUUUGCUACUAAUUUAAUGAAAUUUCUGUUCUAAAGGAUCAUCAUAAUUCAUAUUCAUGUUAUUCUUGUUUUUGACAGGUCAUCGAUUACUAUACUCUUCUAGUUGGAAACUCUAUUUCCUUAAACGCCAUGUCAUCAUUAACUAUUCUUAGUUGCUAUUCCAGCACAUUCGCAAGUAUCUACGCGAGCUACUUUCUUUAAUAUCAGAAUUAUGGUCAUCAUUCAGUCUCCCAGCAGCUAAUCGUCAUGUUCAUGGACCCCCGGAAAGUGUGCUUCUAUUAUCUAUCUUUUGUACAAUACACAGGUGUCAAAGGGCAAUAAUGUAAUUUGACUUUCUGAUCAGAUCCUGCACCUAGUUGAACAACUUUGUCUGGCCCUAAAUGAUGAGUUCAGGAGAUAUCUUCCUAUAAUUCUUCUAUCUGGAGAUGGAAAGACUCCACAUUAUAUGAAAGUUGAUCGGGACAAAUGAGCUGAUGAAGAUGAUGAUGCAGGUAUGGUGAUUGUUACUAAUUUUGUCACCCACCAUUUCUAUAUUUAAUCAUGUUAUAUGUAUAUUGUAUUCAGAAGUUUAGUUAAAUAUGUUUUUUAGGUCCUACUGCUGACCUUGACAUGGGAAUAAUGGAUUUCUCAGUAAGAAAAUAGUUUCUUAAAAUAUUAUUACUGAAGUUUCUUUCUUUUUAUAUCACUAAUGACUUAUCCUCAUACAGAAAUUUGGUGACGUGGGAGGCAUGGGCAUGCCUGACAUGGGUGAUUUCUCUAUGGGUGAUGACCUUGAAGACAUAUCUCAUGUUUAUUGUGUAGAGUGGCCCUGCCAUUGACAUGACAACAGAGGAUACAUGGGGCGUCAACUACCGAGCCCUACAAGAUCUGUUUGAAUUAACAGAGGCAAGGAUAGAUGUAAUAAAGUAUGAGGUUGGAGUUCAAAUGCUUGAAAUAUACAAUGAACAAGUCAAAGAUUUGUUGGUAAUUGAUGGCUCCAAUAGAAGAUAUCCUUUCAAUUCUCUACCCUUCCUUCUCAUGUUUAUUAUUUUUUUUAAUUUUUUUAAAUCUUGACAACCUACACAUUGGAUAUAUGAAACAAGUCCCAACUUAAUGAUCUUAAUGUUCUGGAUGUGUCUUUGGUUUCUGUUAAAUGUACACAAGAUGUUCUUCAUCUCAUGAGAAUUGGUCUUAAUGUUCCGGAUGCGUCUUUGGUUUCUGUUUAUUGAUUCUAAUUUAAACAAUUUUGUACUUCAAUUUUGCUCCAACAACAUCAGCCAUUUCGUUUCUCUUUUCUCCCAUUCCCAUACCACCUCUAAAAAAAUUAUGUGCUUCAUUUUUUUGGUAAUCAGGUGAAGUAGAACCUGGGAUUGUUAAAAUUCUCUGUGAUGAAAAGUUAAUUUGUUUCUAAACUCCUGAAUUGAAUCAUAAUUUUCCCCCUCUUCCUUUAUCAUGUCGUAUAUCCUUCUCUUUGCAUUCUUAGAUAGUUACACAUAUCUGUUAUAAGGGCACAUAAUUCUAAUUUUCUAUCCAUAGGAAGGUUAUUACAUUUACAUGUCAUCUGUUAAAACGUGUUUGAGUGAGUGGUCCUGUGUUGUCCUAUUUCUAUCUGUACAUUUCUUAUCUUGUAUAACAGGCUCUUGAGUUAUUAUUUACAGCUUGUCUCUAAGACUAAGAUAUUGUUCAUCCUUUAGUGUUUUUUUUCAUUUAUUAAUAAAUUUCUCAGUUUAUUCAUUCCAAAUAAAAGUCAGAUUCGAUUUCCAAUUUGGUGUUUCUCCCAAGAUUUUGGACCCUGUAUACCCAGUACACGAGUUUCCUCUUCCUCUACAUUUAGCAGAAUCAGGUCUCGGAUAAGAUGGAAUUCAUCAGGGAGCACUUCCCUAUGGAGUUAAGCUUAUAUCAUUUCCAUUAUUCUUUCUAAUUAAAGCAAGACUGGACAUUUGAGGUCAUUUGUCUGCUACCCUUCUCUUCUAAGUAGUCAUCCUUUUCGUUGUUGUGUGUUUGUGCAUGAUGUGUGUUGGCCUUCUGCUGGGGCUGGGAGAGUAAACAAGGGAUCAAAUUUAUAUAUUCAUGAUGCUAAUAUUGCUGACAAGAUAGAGAACCAGGAUGGAAAGAAGCUGAAAGAGAAGGAUAUGCUUAUAAAUAUUGCUGGAGGAAUUUCCUUUAUGCUCAAACACUUCAAGCUAUACAUUCUUUAAGGAAUCGUUUAUCCAUAUUUUAAAAGAUGCUCAAUUACUUGAGACUAAAUCGGGGAUUAGCAACAGAUUAAGUCAUAAUCAAUCAUCGGUUAGCGCCAUUAUAUGCUCAGGCCUUUUUCCUGGCAUUGCAUCUGUAGUGGUAUGUAUGCUUAAUGCUUAUUUAUUUAAUUUACAAUUUACAAUACAAUUGAUAGAUAUAUGAAUCCAUAUGUUACUUAAUUUUGUUCUUUUUUAUUUUUAAUAUGUGCAGCAUAGGGAGACAUCAAUGUCCUUCAAAACUAUAGAUGAUGUCCAAGUCUUACUCUAUGCAGUAUGUAUUAAAGAAAUAGCAAUGCACUUUCAUUCAUUUGUUUCAUAUUUUUUUCACAUUUCUCUAAUGAUAUUUUUCCUUGAGUCAUAGAAUGAUUGGCUCAUAUCUUGUUUUUUGAUAUUUAUACGCAGUUUUUUUCUUACGUCGGUGGUGGCGAAGUUCAAGAUUAAGGGAGACUUGUAAUCAUGUUUGGCUUUCCUUUCCAGUAAGAAACAGAGUUGUAUGAUUAUUUGUUAGUUUUAUAGGAAUGUAUAACACAUGUUAGCAAUGUAUUAUUUUUGUUUAACAUUUGAAUGAUUUUUUGUAUGACAUUAUAAUUUGUGCAAUUUAUUUUAUAUUAUGCAAUGGAUUGUAUUUUUUGUAUAUGGUAUUUUAUUUCUGUUAUAAGAAAUUAAAUGAAAAUUUAAUUUAAAAAUUAAUAAAUAUAUAAAUUUAUUUUUUUUAAACAUUUAAAUUUACGAUACGCAAAAAUGUAUGUCAUCUUCAUAUAUGACAUGGCCUUUCUUGACAGGGGCUUUCUUGAUACGCAUUGCGUGUCAUUAACACGCGCGUCGUAAGGUUACGACACGCGAAUGCGUGUCGUCUUCCUUUAUGACAGGGCCUUCCUUGAUACGCAUUGCGUGUCGUAACCGCGCGUCGUAAAUGCGCGUCGUCUCUCUUUAUGACAGGGCCUUCCUUGACACGCAUUUGCGCGUCGUCUGAGCGUUUUACGACGCGCAAUGAGCGUCGUAAAAGGCCUUUUUUCUUGUAGUGAGGGAUAUCGUAAUCCAUCUUGCAAAAUAUUUGAAGGCAGGUAAAUGAUGAUUUACCAAUUUCCACCAUGAAAAACGAAAUUGUUAUUAUGUUUUAAUUGGAUUUGAAACUCCUAGAUCAUUUGAGAUUCAUUGAACAAUUCAAUGGCAUGUUUAAAUCUCGAUUAUGCCCUCCAGGUUUGUGACUAGAAUAUCGAGGAUCAAAAACAAGGUGUGAAUAACCAUGCAAAUGUACUUGGUACUCUUAAUGUCAAUUACCACAUUAAUCAAUGUGUUGGUAAACUACACAUGCUCCAUUGACCUUAUGAUAAACAUUAAGCUACGCUUUGCCACCCUUACUAGUCAAAGUUAAUGUGUCGGUUAACCAUACACGCUCCAUCAACGACUUGGUAAGGUGCAAAAUGUAAUUUCAUGGAUUAGCAUCAAUUUCACAUAUUCCUAAAGUAACUAAGAAUAGGAAUUUAUAAAAGGUUUAGUUACUUUAUAAUUAUCAAUAUACUUUUAAUGAGAAUUAGAGUCUUUGUCUUACCCGUUUGGCUAACGACCCUCCACCAGUCGAGGAAAUGGUGGGUAAGAGUGGACACCCAUUAAGCUUCCAUUUUAUGGGCAACAACCUUAUACCCCUCUUAUAGACCAGGUUCGUGAAUGAGGCCUACUAACGGUAAGACUGACUUAUCUUAUACAUACAUACAAAAAUUCUAUGGUUUGGCCCUAAAGUAUUCCAAAGCGACUUUACAAAUUCCAAAACUUGAGGGCAUGCUUUGAAACUAGUCGAAACUUUUCAAGUUCAUAACCUAUGAGUGUUAAUGAAUUUUAAGGAAAAGACUUUUGGAAUUCCAUAACUUGAGGACAAGUUAUGGAGUCCAUUAAAAGGCAUUUAGAUCAACAAUUAAACUAACAUACAAGUGUCAAAUAAUAUGAUCUACCAAAAACUCAUAAGCAAGGAUAAUCCAAAUCACGAAUUUUCAAGAAUCAUAUAAACUAAUAUUGUAGUGGUGUUGAUUAUGAUGGCAUGUGCGGAAUUAGAAAGAUCUAGUGAAUCAUCAUGUAAAAUCAAGAACACAAGGAGUAAAUAAAUCUUUGUAAGCUCUUAUUAGAUCUAGAAAGAAUAUACAAAUGGGUUUGUACAAAGUUUCUCUCUCUAGUCUAACACUCCAAAUGGAUUCACUUACAUAAUGGGAGUUACUCACUUCCUAUUUAUAGGAAAGACUCAACCCAUUUACACAUACAAAGAGGAAAGCCUAAAACACUACAUCCAAGAGUGACUUUGCACCCUAACAUUCUCCCCCUCAAAGUUAGGAUUGGAUGUCCGGCUUCAAUCUCCAACGAGCUAGCGCGAUCAAGACCAAACUCCCCCUCGAAGUAACACCGGUCUUCAAAUCCGCAAAUGAAUAUUCGACAAACCUGAGAAGCUUCGAAUACCCAUCAUUCUCCCCCUUUUUAUAAUCAAAAAAUGAUUAUAAAACCCACUAAGGAUGAGAAGCGCCUGAGGAAUAGUCUUCACGAUACUCCCCUUGAUGUGUACCAAAAAUGAAUCACCAAAAAUUUUGCACGGAAAAACAAUCACGAAAAAGCCACAAAAAAUUUCCAAUUUAUGAAAUUUUUUGACUUUUUGGGUGAAAGUUGCAAGAUUUUUCAAAAUUCGGGUAGAAGUUGUCACUUUCUACAACUUGCAGGGACCCGUUGCGCCAAAAACAGCCAAAUAUGCGAAAUUCUCCCCCAUUUGAGAAACUGGGUAGAAAAUGUUAAUUCGCAUAAACUGCAGGGACCAAAAAUGAACAUGCUUCAAUUUCUCAGAAAAUUAGUCCUUUUUCAAAUUUGGGUAUGAACUGCCCAACACUCGAAAGUUGCAGGAGCUAAAUUCGAAAAUUGUUCUUUUUCAUUCCAAACGUACGAAACUUUGCGUCCAAACAUACGAAGAGUUUAAAAAAAACUGUCAAACAGUCGAAAUUAUAAGGGUCAUAUUCGAAAAUUUGCUUUUCUUCUUUCCAAUUCAUACGAAAUCAUACAUUUCGUAUGAAACUUACUACCCUUCGAAUCUUAUGCAUCAAUCUGAACACAAUUAACUACCCUUCGUACGAAAUCCUCUCUACCCUUCGUAUGAAAUUUCAUCUUCCCCAAUCAAACGAAACUUUUUCCUUCUCUCUCCCCUUCGUACGAAACUACAUCACCCCUUUCGUAUAAAAUCAUCAACAAUUUUUUUUUCAAUUCACGAACCCAGUAAAGCUUCGUUCUUUGACCAUCGUCUUUGGAACCCAAAUCAAAACUUUUAGUUCCAAAAUCAUCGAACACAAUCCUUCGUUUUCUCACUCAUCGGCUACCCUUCGCUUUUUGCAAUCCAUCCAUAGACCCUAAUAAACCCAUUCUGGUUAAACCAUUCCAUAUACUCAACAUUGAUUCUCAAAUCAUCGAUUUCAAUAGCAUCACAAAAUCAAACCUUCGAUUCUCAAUGCCAAACACUUACAAGGAAACCUUCCCGGUCAAAAACUUCGAAAUCAUAUUCAAUAAUCAUCUAUUACUGACUCAUACUCAACACACAUCCUUCGUUUUUCCCAGUUGAUUUUGACCCUAACAUUAAAAUCGUUUUCGAUUCCACAACUGUCGAUUUCAAGGCCAUCGUCUUUUUCAAGAAAUUCGACCAGUCACUUUGCAUUCUUCGCUUUUUAUUCAACAUCGACAUUAGUUAACAAACAUUCAAAAUCGAAAAUCAAUCCAUCGAUUCUACACACUUUGAUUCGAUCUCCAAAAUCACAAUACCAACAUCGAAUUUCUCACUCUGAAUUUCUAUCGAAAACAAUGUGAUUCAAAUGAACAUAGCCUCAAGUCAAAAGCAGAUUCCGACUCCAAUCAUUCCAACCAAUUGAUCCAAUUUCGUUUCUUUGAUUUUGUUAACCAUUUCUAUUUCCUAAUAACCUCUUGAAUCAAUAACAAUAUUAUCAUAGAAAUCGAAAUAUGAUUUCAAUUUUGACUUUUCCUCGUGUUUGACUUUUUCAGAUGUCGACAAACACCGAAUUUAUCUUCACAAAAACUAUUCUGAUUCCUUCUUUGAAGCAGUAAAUCAAGCAUUCAACUUCUUGAUUUGUUCGUUCAAUAAGCCAAUCGAACAAAUAAGACUUGAACAUCAAUCGAUAUAAUACUAAGUGAAUUAAUCAAUCAGACUUAGGCUCAAGUAUUAUAUUAAUGAACAGUAUUCGAAAACAUUAUGGGCUCAGUGAACAAAUUUCAAGUUUGGGCUUCUAACUUGAAUCGAAUCAACGAAUGGAGAAUUUGAUUGGACUAAAGUUGGAUAAGAUGAACAGUAAAAAAGUGAUUUUGAUUUUGGUAAUUGAUCUUACAAAAAUUAUUGGAUCAACAAUGGGGUUGAAACGAAUUUGAUCCAAUGAGGCAAAUCGAUCAAAAAUUAAAAACGUAAAAUACAAAUCGAAAUCAUGGAUGUUUUGGAAUCCAUUUGAGAAUUUGAGAUACCUUUUUGACGAAUCGAGAUCCGUUUUCAACGAACAAAUCAAAUUUGGAAGAUCUUGGUUCUUUUGUUGGAAUGAGAAAAUCUCCACAUCGAACAUUGUACCACCCACCAUGCGAGAUGUACAACUCGUUCUUCGUGUUCUUCAUCAAACCUAGAACAUCUUCAAAAGAACCACCAACACUUUUGGGUUUUGACUUCAAAUUCAAUGCAACCUUUGGAGAUUGUUGCUUUGGAACCCAAAUUUGCUUCACGGAUUUUGGCUUCACAACAUUUGACGAUUUUUGUGAGUAAACCCGCUUGUUCUUUCGAUUCAUCUUCUUCUUCUUUUUCUUUCUCAUCUUUUUGCAUCUUGAAAACUUGAUUUCAUGAACAAACCCACUUUCAACAACAUGAACAUUUUGAGUUUGAAUCAAAUCUUUUGGAGUUUGAUACUUGUGAUUUUCUUGGAUCACCGGCUUCCGAUAAGGAAUCAUUCCUUCAAACGAAUCACAAGAACACAAAAUAUCAUCGGUUUGAACUCCAAUCGAGCAAAAAACUUUUUCAUCAUGAGAAUCAACUUGAACUCCUUUUUCUUGAACAUCAAGAACAUCACAUUGAACUCCAUUGUCAAGAACUUCAAGUAAUUUAAGAGCACGAAGAUCAUUUGGGUCUUCAAUAAGAGAAACAUAUUUCUUAUUGAACAAAUCUCUUUCUUCUCCUUCCUUUUGAUUUCUACUACGAACUAAUAUGGACAAGGCAAUUUUAUUCAACCAUGCAAUCUUACAAAGUGGUUGAAAUACCAAGCUUCCAUGAUCAUCCUUCAAACCUCCAUAAGAAACCAUAUUACCCCAUGAAAUCAAUUUGCUUAACACCAACCCAUAAAAUUGAUCUUCAUUGACUUUGUAUUUCACAUCUUUAACGAUCACAAUCCAAGAAUCAUAUGGCAAACCCACCAUGAUCACAAAAACUUGAAGAUUUCUAGAGAGAGAAAGUGAUUUUGAAUGGGUUUUCUAGAGAGAGAAAGUAAAAAUCACUUGAAUUCUAGUGAAGAAAAUCGAAUUAUGAAUAGAAUCAAAGAUGAAUUCGAUUUCUAGAAUCCAAAAACUCUCUAAACCACGAAGAUCCAAGAUCAUAAAAUGAAUCACCAAAUCAAGAAAGCCACCAUGGAUCAAUUCUUGAUGAAAUCAAGAACACCCGCUCUGAUACCAAUUGUAGUGACAAAGAGCAUGGUUUGACAUGCGGAAUUAGAGUUUGCACAAUUGAACAUGGUGAUUUGGGUGUUUAAGAGAUAUAUUGAAUGUAUAUGGUGUUACAAAAAGGACAUAGAUCUACAUCUACAUAAUUAACACACACUUACACACUCACUUCUACAUCUCUCAAGCACACCUCUACAAGUGGACAAACCCACCUUAUAUAGAGGUGUUUACAUGUCUCUCUCUCACUCUUACUAACUCAUAGGUCAAAAGGCUAAUGCAACACAUGCAAUUGGGUUUUACAAAAGUCAAACAAUUAUGAAUAACUUUGCACCCCAACAGAUUGGUACUAAAUUUCUUAAUGUCCAUGUGAUUAUCAAAUAGAUGACAAGAGUGUUGAAUACUACGAUGCAACAGGUUAUUUAACUACGAAAUUUGACUCUUGUGAUGCUUUAGUAAAAAGUGUUCCAGAAUUUUAGUAUUCUGAAGGAUAUGAGAUAUUUAUUUGUGGUUCAAGAUAAGACAAAAAUGUUCCUUUGCAAUGUGACGGAGGAGAUUUGUAUUGAGAUAUAUGAAGUAUUUCAAGCAAAUGGGAAAAACUACUGGAUCUCGUUUAAUCAAUUAUCCAAAACACAACACAAGAUAUAAGAUAUCUAUUCGUGGUUCAAGAGACGACAUGAGAUCCUUCAAUAUUUGAGUUUGUGAAAUCAUCAUAAAGACGUAAUAUAUUGGCUGGUGAAAACAACUUAAUCGAUUUAAAUGUAUAUACAUUAGAUACAUUUGAUUUGACCGGUUUUUUUAGCCUGUUAUAUAUAUAUAUANNNNNNNNNNNNNNNNNNNNNNNNNNNNNNNNNNNNNNNNNNNNNNNNNNNNNNNNNNNNNNNNNNNNNNNNNNNNNNNNNNNNNNNNNNNNNNNNNNNNNNNNNNNNNNNNNNNNNNNNNNNNNNNNNNNNNNNNNNNNNNNNNNNNNNNNNNNNNNNNNNNNNNNNNNNNNNNNNNNNNNNGGUUGUUAUUUAUAAUUUGAUCAUUUUUGGUUAAAAAAAUCCUCAUAUAACUAUGUUUUUUACUUUGAACGUUUAUUAUUAAGUGAAAUAUAUAUGGUUAUUUUAAACUUUUUUAAGUUUAUGUGUCACAAAAAAAUCUAGGGUAAAAAGUAGUAUUUUUUAGUGAUAGAAAAUCAAAUUUAAAGUGUGGUAAAAUAGAUAAAAUUGAAAAAUUGAAAUUUUACAAAAAAAAAAAAAAAAGAUUUUAUAUAUGAUAGAAAUAAAUAUAUUUAUUUAGUCAAUGAAGUUUGUCUAUUCAUACAAAAUUAUUGUGGAUGGCAAAAAAAAAAAUUUAUACGAAUCAACUUGCUUAUAAUAAGUAUCCUAGAAAAAUAAUUCUAUGCGUGGUUAUUAAUGUUUACUUGUAUAACAAACAAAAUAAAUUUGAAGUUGACAUUAAAGAAAAGGAUAAAUUAUCAUUGAGAUAAGAUCUACAUCUAGAUUCUAGAGUAAAAAAGUGGACAAACAGACAAAAAGCUGACUUUUCUAUCCUAAAAUGGUUGUUAUGAACUUUUUAGCACAACUAAAAUGUACUAAACGUGAUCUAGUGAGUAGUGACUAGUGGUUCGUUUAUGCGCAUCUUUCUUCCGCGUACUUCACUUAUAAAUUAUCCUCAAAAUAUGUAUUUGCUCACAAUCUUUGAAUGUCAAUGUCAAGUGGUUGCGUGUCAUAAAUCCAGUUUUAGGUUUUCAAGUUUCAACAUAAUAAUAAUAAUAAUAAUAAUAAUAAUAAUAAUAAUAAUAUUCAAACAUACAUCCAUUUAUUCUUCUUUGGCGUCUAACGUGCUAAAAUACAAAUAUUUAGUUAUUUUAAAUAUCAUGAGCAUAAUGACAAUAUUAUUAAAUCAAUGUGAUGGCUUUGUUGGUUAAUCAUAUUUAAUAUAAUAUUAUAAUUUAUGACAAAUCAUUAUAUUUUACAUAUGAUUACUAAAAAAUUUAACAUUUUAAAUCAGAUCAGAGUUAUCUAAUAUUUACAUCUCUUAUUCUUCAAUUUUAAUCACAUAUAGAAUUUCAAAUAAAUUAAUAUUUUGAGCUUGCUACGUAAACAUUAUAUAAAAAUAUAUUAUUUUUUAUUUUAUUUUAUUUUAUUUUAAUUAUUUAUAACAUCUUCCAAGUAUUAAAAAAAAACAUUUAUACAUAAACAAUAUCAAAUUAAAAAGUUAAAAAUUAGAUGGAUCAAAGCUCCAACUAAUAAAUUAGAGCGGAGAUUACAAAAUUAAAAUUCAAAUACUAGAUACAGACUAAUAAAUUAGAGUGGAGUUGCAAAAAACACAGGUAAAGAUUUUUUUUGUUACCGUUAAAAGCUCCAACUAAUGCCAAUCAACCUGAUGAACAGCGAAAACAAUGAAACUUUUUAAACAACCCUGUAUCGACAAUUCCAAAAACCCUAAUCAAAGCAAAGUUAAACAAACAGAAUCAACUAAUUAGAACAGAAACUUACCAAGGGAGAUGCUAGUAGAGGGCGACGGUGGAGGUGGGUAUCGUUGGCAGAAGGACAAAACGGUAGGACGAUGGUGUUAGAGGUGGGUGUCCCAGUAGAAAGAUGCGGUGAAUCAUAUGAAACAAUGAAGAAAUCGCCGUUCUAAUCGACCCUAUUGAACGUUUCUAUGAUGUCGGAACAAUUUCAGCCCUAAUUCGAAGGCUGCAGAUCGAUGGAUGAUGACGGCGCAGAAGGAGAAGGAAGCAAUCGGCAGUGCAAUUGGAUGACGGGCGAUUGGAAGUACCUUCUAGAGACAAAACGAUUAGUCGGUGAAGCGGUAGAAUGUGUAAACAUGAAAAGCUCGAAAUUUAGGCCAGAAGCCGAUGAACAGUAACCGGCUGGAGCCGAUUACCGUACAUAAGCUGUAUUUGGAAUUAAUUAUAGAGAUUUUCUAAUAUGUGCCCUAAGGGCAGAUAUAAGAAAUAUUAAUUAAUGACAAAUAUUACCAUAAUUAAAUGUAAAAUACAUUAAUUAUAAGGAAUAUUACCAUAAUUAUAUGUAAAAUGCAUUAAUAAUUUCCAUAAUAAAUGUAUUUUGAAUUUAGUUAUAGUAAUAUUUUUCAUAAUUAAUACUUCUUAUAUGUGCCUUAGGCACGUAUUAGAAAAUCCCUUAAUUAUAUGAUACAUACGUAUAAAGAUGAAGUAUCUGGUUGUUUACAAUUAUAAUGAUUCCUUCGAGCAAGAAGCAGCAAAAGUAAGUAAAAUGAGUAUACCUAGUUCUGCUAAUAAACAAAAUUAAAAAGAAGAAGAAAGAAAACGGUUUUUUAUUUACUAUAAUAAUGUUAUUUUGAACAUUGCAAACUAAAAAUCGUUGGAAAUUUUAAAAUAACAUGAAAGGAAUCAAGAACAUUAAUUACAAAUGAUGAUUGCUUCACGACAGAAAAGGGGUUCGAAAAUAAUAGAUAAGUGAUACUUUCUUUAGUGUACCGCCAAAUUCCAGCAACUUUAAUUGACCAUCGACAACCCAUCUUUCAAUUUCCUUUCAAAUUGUUUAUGUAGCCACCUUCACAAAUUCCUUUAGAUUUUAGUAAGACUGAUAAAUGAAAGGCACCUAAAUAAUAAUCAAUUUAAUAGUUGGGUCUUGAUAUGUGCUAAGGGCGUUCUGAUUCACCGGCCUCUCUCUCUCUCUCUCUCUCUCUCUCUCCUAUUCCACUGAAAUUGUUUCGGUCGACGACAAAAACCUUCACACCGUUGUCCGACGAUUGUGUUCAAGGGAAAUAUGUUGCUCACACAUCCUUCUGAUUAUCUACUCCUUUUACCUCUAACAUUCCAAAAUUUUCAAUAAAAUUUUCAUUUUAAAAUUAAAAGAAACCAUUAUUUUCAACCUAAACCUUAUUCAAUCAAGUAUCAAUACAAAUAUCCCCAAAAUCAAUAUAUCAUAAAAUCUCCCAAAACAUAUCAUCGAAGGAUGUGUACGAUCAUGCAUUCGUCUUGUUAUGGUCAUCCGAAGUACCUGAAUCAUAAAAUUGAAUCUGUAAGCCAAAGUUUAGUGAGUUCCACCAAAGUACCACAUAUCACAACUAAACAGAUAUACAAAAAUGCAUGUUGGGUCCACAACCUCCCGGUUGGCUUACCCUGGCCCACAAUCUUCCUGUUGGAUUGCCCUACAAAUAACAUAUUGGGUCCACAGCAUCCCGGUUAGAUUAUCCUAGCCCAUAACCUCACGUUUGGAUUUCCCUGGCCUACAACCUCCCGGUAGGAUUGCCCUGGCCCACAACCUCUCGGUUGGAUUGCCCUGGCCCACAACCUCCUAGUUGGAUUGCCACAAGUUUGUUGACUAACCGCACGAAGCAGUACAGUCACAACAGUGACAACUGUCAAUUUUGGUCAAACAAAGUCAACAAAAGUCAACCGAAUCAACUCAACUCGUAUUAGAAUUUUAGGAGAAAUGUGAUAUUCCCUAAUGUUACUAAUGUACUAUUGACAAGUUAUAAUGCAAAGCACCCCUCUUGUUGCCAAUUAUUGAAUAUAAACCCUAAUUAGGGUUAGUAACUUAAAAAUUCGAUAAUUCAAUUAUAUAUUAUUUAGGUAUAAAUAGUAUUCACAACACAAGGUAGUUGAGUUCGUUAACUUUUUGCUACAUGACAAAUUCAUAACAAAUGUUACAUAUACAAAUUUUUGGUGAAAUCGUCACUAAAUGCGACAGAUUAUAUACCCGACUUAAACACUCAAACAUUAACGAAAAGAAUUAGGAAUCAUCCUAACUUUCGUGUAAUGUGUUAUUAUUUUUGAUGAUAAUGAUUUUUAUAGUAAUUUGAAUUUAAAUGAUUCAAAUUAAGUAAAUAUACAUCAUUUUCACCAUAUUUAUGUUUAAAAAUCACUAACUUUUAUAAAAAUUGAUCAUUCUUUUAGAAAAAUAAAAGAAACAUUUUUUGUCUUAUAUGGUGAUGACACCUUUUAUAAUAAAAUAAUAUUUUAAUCAAGAAAGUCAAUNNNNNNNNNNNNNNNNNNNNNNNNNNNNNNNNNNNNNNNNNNNNNNNNNNNNNNNNNNNNNNNUACACUCCAUCUUCUUCAUUUCCUCUCAAGAACAAGCUUUUCCUCUCAAGAUUGACCUCCAUAAGUUGGUUAUUGUAACGCCCGGUUCCCUGGUACACGUUUAAUUAAGUAUUUAUCUAUUUUGAAAGAAGAACUCGAGGAGUUGGUAGCCCUGACUUGUCGAGAAGCAGGCAGUUUGUACGCGGGGGUUUUAGUGAGCUACUCGACGAGUCGUAGCCCUGACUCGAGGAGUAGGACAAGCUGGAUGAAACCCUAAUCUUUAGGGUUUGCACCCUAUUUAAGCAUCAUAUUUGGCCUCCAUUCCAGCCUCCCUCACCUCCGAAGCACUAACUCUGAAACCCUAAUCCUCCAUAAGUGAUCUUGAGCUAUUCUUGCCAUUUUGAGUGUUAUUUUGUGUCUUUUGAAGCUUGUGGAAGAAGCAGAAGAUAGAAGACUCAAGAGGGAAGGAGUAGAUCCAGGAACUACACUCCAUUUGCAACCUUUUCUGGUAAUCAAGUUUUCAACUUGAUCAUUCUUCUCUUAGAUCUAUCUGUUUCCAUCUUAUGAAAGUUUUGGUUCAAAAACCUUGGUCCUUGGAGUUUGGGACGUCCCAAGUGGCUAAUAUCUCAGAUCUAGGCUCUAGGGAGGGUUCCAUGGCAUAAAGGUGCAAACUUUAUGACCAUGGAAGCCUCAUACAAACAUAUGAGCAAGUUUAUGGUCUUUUAGCCCUAAGAGAAUAUGCAUGGAAGGAAAGCUCAGAAUUUUAUGGGUCCAACAGAUGUUAAAACCCUAGAUCUAGGUUUGUAUGAAUGGAUUUGAGACUCUAUGGAAUUUUUGGGGUUUUAUCUAAACCCUUUCAUAAUAGGGCCUGUUUAUAUGAUAUAAUAGUAGCUGAGUGUGGGUCGGGCCCGAAUCUCGUAGCAGUCUAGUGUGGGCGUGGCCCGAUUCUCUUAGUAUUAUCUGAGCAUAGAUAUGUGAUUGUUUGGUAGAUAUACUUGUUGUCUGUGUGAUACUUGUAUGCAUGUUAGUAGCGGAGUGUGGGUGGGCCCCGAAUCUCCUGGCCAAUGGAGUGUGGGCGGGUCCUAAAUCUCCUAGAUAGCAGAGUGUGGUCGGGUAAGUUUUUCCGUACUAAUCUAGUGAUUCUAUACACAUAUAUACUAGUUUUGGUACAAUUACGCACAUUAAUAUGUGUUAAUAUCCAUAGGAUAUUUUGAUAUUCAAGUGUUCUUAGCUUGAAAUCCUUCAUCUUCACCUCUUUAUCCACCAAGAAAGACACUCAUGGUGAGUUCAUACCCUUCAUUUUCGUUUUUAUCAAAGUUUUAGGGGGGAAUACAAGUAAACUUGUAUAAUAAUACAAGUUGUUAUGCAUGCUUUAUCUUCAAGUUAUGUAAAAGUAUUAUUUACAUGAAAUAAGGUUAUUAUCUAGUAUUAUGAGCAUUUGUGUGUGGUAUCUUGCUUAAAAUGUAAAUCUAUGAAAAAUGAGUAUAAACAUGCUAUAUGUGAUGGGUUUUGAGCAUAACAACAUCCUAUGUGAUCAUGCAACCCUGAUUGCUUUGGAUCCAAGUUUGUCUCUAGUUAUACAUGCAAAUAAAAAUUCCAAAGCAAUAACCCUAAUACUAGCAUACAAUUUCCAAAAUCAAUAUGAAACUAGGGUUAGAAUAUUACGUUGCUUGCUAUCUAGUAAUAACACCACGGAUGAUCUUGACUCUUGAAAGCUUAUUGCCCCAAGUGUUGCACCUCUAAUGGAGUCACAAACACCAAAAGCAAAGGAUGAGUGAGAGGGGGGGUAGAAAAUUGGCUAGGGUUUCUCCUUGGGAAGCACUGGCCAAAUUUAGGAGGUCUAGGGGUCUUUAUAUAGUUGUGGCUGCUAGGAUUUUCAGGUGGAAACCCUAAUCCUUGCUUAGGCUCCAAGCAACCCAUGGACAUCCCUUCUCGAAGGCCUUGGACGAUUUCUAUAGGGCCUCCCUAUAGAAAUUCUUCCACCCCAUUCCAAGGGAGUCCAGCAGCCCAGUUUGCAACUAUUAAUGAUUUGCAAAACCAGCCCCCAUACUUUUAACUAGUUGCUUUAAUCCCAAAAUUAAUAUCAAAUUAAUUUCUGGUUAAAUACUAAUUAAAUAAUAUUAUUUCUAAUUAAUAUUUUAUUCUUAUAAUAUAUUAAUAAAUCAUUAAAUAACCUCUCUCUCUCUCCAAAAGUCAUCCUGUCAAGUUGCUAUGGUGAAGGCAACCCAAAAGGACCAUGCUACUAUCAAAUCAAGUACAUAUCAAUUAUAGUUAUGGGCUUAGACACCUAAUCAACCAGUCUCCCACUUGGAUAAGUCUAAUAACUAUAACUGCAUGUAUGACUUUAAAAUCUGAUUAGCAAUUGUAGCUUUCAAAAGCCGUUGUCGAACUCUGACCUAGUCAAUGACGCAUCCUUUAGAUAAGGGAUCAUAUAAUCCUCUGUUCUGCAAGAUAUCGUGUGGAAAAAGACAUGGAACAUAAUCAUUCUCAUUGCCCAACAGAUUGUUUCCCGAUUUCUGAUUUUUAUGACAUAGAACUUUAUUGAACACAUCAAUUUAGUCCUGACUGGGCCCGACACAUAAGUCAACACAAAUUCAUCGAGGGGCCCAAGAUAUCGCUUUUACUCCUUGGGAUAAAAGGAACAGAUAAACUUUGACUUAUAUGCUUGUACAAUUUACUCAUCGAAUCAUACACAACAAUAUGUUUUAUAACAUCAAGUUACUAAUGCGCUUAUGCAUUAUCAAUGUACAACCAACUCGUAAACAACGACUCAUAUAUCUUGGUUUAAAGAUUAUACAAUAUUAUCGUCUCACAAUCACUCGUGAUAAAUUACAUGAAGUGAUUCAAAUGAAGGUGGGUUUAAUCCAAUACUCAAAUCAUAUUUCAAAAGUACUCAUGAACGUUGCAACAAACCUUUGCUAUGUCUAAGCACUUAGACAAUCUACAACCCAAUUCAUGAGAGUCUUCAUUCAUUACAUACUCCCAAACUAUGAUCGACUGUGGAUGUUUUGAACAAUCCAAUUAUUCAGGAAGUAUAACAUGCAAAAGUGAAACACAAAAUAAACAAUUGACAAAAGAUAGUAAACUUUACUCAAAAAUAAAUCUUCCAUUACUUAAUCAUCAAAUGUCAAUUACAUUUAUAUUGUACAAGUUUCUAAUGUAACACUCCAAAUCAGUUAUCACCUUGGAAGCCCUUUAAAAUUUUAAAUGUUGCAUAAUUAGUCCCUUAAGUACAUUGGGUGUACUCAUGGGUACGCUUAGCGUACUUUACUAGAAUGAUCGUGGAGGGACAACACCUACGUUGGGCGUACCAAAAGUACGUUGGGUGUACGUGACGGAUGUCCAAACCCUAAUUUACGGACUUGAGACCUAUAUAAGCAUCCUUAUCUCAUUUGAGCCUCACCCUAAUUAGCCUCUUUCACCUUCAAACGUCUCUAAAAACUGUAAUACCAUUAAAGAGUGUGAUUUGAGCUUAAGUAGUGCAUUUGUGGCCAUUUUAGUGUCCAUUCAAGAAGAAGACGUUGUCAAGCAAGCUUAGAGUGGCAUUAGGCUUCAAGAAUAUGUAUCUAGUUCACCUUGAGGAGCUUCUGGAGGUAUAGAGCUUUGAUCUUGCCUUCUUACUUUUAGAUCUAGUUAGGUUUUUCUUUAUGGUCCCUUUUGUUGGUUUUGGACCUUCUCUUGAGAGUUGAGCAACUCCAUAGGUUGAAAUGGUUAGAUCUAAGCCUUGUGAGCAUGUUAGAUGCAUAAAGGUGCUAGCUUGGGGAGUAUCUAGACUCCAUGCAAGAGUUUGGAGCCUUAUAUGAAGUCCUAAUGUGAAGAAUGAAGUUUUUAAGUCCCAUAUAACAUGCAAGGGAAUAAAGUUGCCAACUUUAUGCCCUAGGACAUCUUAAUGAGCUCAGAUCUGGUUUUGGAUGUUAAAACAUCAAGUAUUAAGCACUUAGUGGAAGGAAGUGCUUAAUCUGUUAGUACGAUGGGCCUAAGUUAGCGUAUACCACGCGUGCUACUCAAGGACUCAAUACGCUGCGCGUACCAGUGUGGUACGUCGGUCGUACGCAUAGCAGUUGGAAUUGGAUUUGUUUUGGGCCUCAAUUCAUCAUUGGGCAUGGUCAUGUUUUGGGGUUAGUGGGCCAAUUUAUCUGUUUUGGUCCAUGGAUGUUAUGAUUGGGCUUUAUUGGGCCAUGAGACCCAUUAAUGAUUUUGGAUAUGGACUUUGGGCCCAUUAACUAAGGAAGACCUUUUGGGCCAUUGUGAAAGGACUUGGAGUUUGGGGUUUUCAAUUGGAUUGUGUUUAGCCCUAACCUUGGGUAAUGUUAUCAUUGUUUAGCAAAGGCGGUUAUGAACUGUUAGGAGAGAAACUCUCAGAUUUAGCCGACAGAGGUGAGUCUUCUCACCAUACCAAUGGGUCUAAGGCACCAAGGCCGGCCCAUUUUAUGUUAUGUGGUACACUAGCUAUUGUAGAGAUAUGUGGUAAGAUAGUUAGCUUUAUUCUAAGUGGUAUGCUAGUGAUUAUAUGAUAUUUUCAUGGAAGACCCCAGGAGGAGCCCGUGGCAAUUGUAUAUAAGACCAUGUGGGGGAGCUCAUGGCAUUCCUAGGUAAAGACCAUGUGGGGGAGCCCAUGGCAUGAUGGUAUAAGACCCUGGGGGAGCCCACAACAUCCUUAUAUGUUUAUGUAUGUGUUAUGUAGUAUGAUAGCUACUUCUAUGAUAUAUGAUAUGCUAGUUGAUUAUGUAUGUUAUUACAUGGAAGACCCCGGGGUGAGCCCGUCGUAGUUGGAUAUAAGACCAUGUGGGGGAUCCCAUGUCAUUCCUAGGUAAAGACUAUGGGGGGGAGCCCAUGGCAUGAUAGGUAUAAGACCUUGGGGGAGCCCACGACAUCCUUAUAUGUUAGUAUGCAUGGCUUAUGUGGUAUAUGUAGCCUUUAUAGCUAAUAUGAUAUUUGUUAUGUAGAUUGUAUGUGGUGUAUGCUCUGGGGGACUCACUAAGCAUUAGCUUAUAAUUUGUGGAUUUGUUUUAGGUACAUCGGAGCCCAAUGGCAAGGGCAAGGCUUGAUGGCGCGACGUGCACUCUCUCACGUGUUUUUACGAAACACUUUGAUGUUUUGAAAUAGAAGUUUUAAUUGACUUGAGUUUUGAAAACAAUUAUAUUUGGAUUUCGUGGCUUAUGGAGAUGUGUUUGGUUAAUCAAAAAUGAAAAUUUUCUUUUGAAAAUUUGGGUCGUUACAAGUUGGUAUCAGAGCCUUGGUUUGUGAGAUUCGGGCACACUCUCGGGUGUGUCAGGACUCAAAGUAAGGAAAUGGGAAAAACUGUUUUCAAAAAUAAAAUAAAAAGCUUUUAAAGAAAGGAAAAGAUGAGAGUGCAAUGCGUGUGAUCAACCGAGCCAAGUAAGUAGUUCCCUAAUGUGUUAGCCAUGUUAUACUGAUUUUUGAGCUUUGAUGAUCGUAUGGAACUUGCUAUGUGUAUGCUUUUUAAAUUUUAUAUGGUUAGGAGCUUAUAGCCUUAGAAUGACUGAUUUGGCCUUAUUUCUUGUUCCUUGUCUGGUUGUAGUCCUAGGGUAGAAUCUUUUAUUUUGAAAGUCUAUUUGAUCCUUUUCUGUGUAUAAUUUGCAUGCAUAAAGGCAACCGGAUAUAAUUGGUAUGGGUAUAGAAAAUCUUAGGACAACCUAGUAUUUGAGAUAUGUAGUAGUUUGUGGGAUGUGAUUUAUUUUGGGACAAAGUGAAGUUAUCAGGUAGAGCAUUGGAAAAGGUACAGGUAGGUAUGGAAGGUAGUAUUGGGCCUGUACUACUGAAAGCACAUGGCCUAUACCCGAACCAAUGUUAAAUUUGACAACUCCAAGGAGGACCGAUGUGGGAAGAUCCUCUAUAUGGAUAUCCUAAUCAUUAUGAUUUAUGACAUUUCAAUUCAGCAUGGUGGUGACACAAUUUGGAGCAAGAGGAUCAGGACUGGGAUCUGGAUCCGGGGCUGGAUCAGGCGACACUACCGAGGUCAUCGACGAGAGGCUGCGUGAGCUUAUUGUAGUCGAGGUUAGGAGGGGCAUCCUUUACGCUACCCCAGUUAUCUUUGGGACAGUCAAGGAAGGUAUGAUGGAUAUUAUGGAGGAGUCAGAGCCGAGAUUGUUAUGGGCCAGGUUGGGGCUCGAACUCCCUCAUUCCGGGAGUUCAAGGCGUGCGGAGCGCCAUACUUUUUUGGGGUCAGGGACCCCAUUGUUAGUCGACGAAUGGGUGGCGGAUAUCGAGAAGGCCUAAUGCACGAGUUCUUGCCCGGAUGCGGCAAAGGUGGUUUUUGAUUCUUGUAUGCUGAGAGACAGAGCCUGAGAUUGGUGGGGUGAGGUUACUAGCCGGGUGGGAGCAGCCGUGUGGCUGAGAUGACAUGGGCCAAGUUUGUUUGGAAAUUUGACUUGGAGUUUGCACCAGCCAUUAAGGUGUAGAGGAUGGUGAGAGAGUUCCAGAAACUCCAGCAGACCACCGAGACUGUGGCAGAGAUCACCGCCAAGUUUCGGGAGCGAGCAUUGUUGAUCCCACAAUAUGCUACCGAUGAGGACAUGCGGAGGACGAGAUAUCAUUCCAUGCUAAGGGAUGAUAUCCGGGAGUUUGUGAGCUUUACAGGGUGCAAAACCCUGAAUGAGAUAGUGGAGAAGGCCCGUGAACGGGAGAUGGAGUUGGACUUCCGCACCAAGUGGAAGCCGGAGCAGGCACAUGCAGCGGUGGGUUAGGCUAAGAAGCCUAAGACCUCAGACACUCCCAGCAGGGGCCAGCAGGGUCGGGGCCGGUGUGCCAGGUGUGGUAAAUCACACAGUGGGGCUUGUCGGACAACAGGCUCUUGAUGUUACUCUUGUGGCCAGCAGGGUCGUCUGAGCAGGGAUUGCCCCAAGAAGGGCUCGAUAUAUUUCCACUGCAACUAAACUGGCCAUAAAAAGGCCGACUGUCCGAGGUUGCAGGGAGGGGGAGGAGCAAUGGCGGCUCCUGCAUCCGCCAUGAUGAGGAUUACUGAUGGCAGCCCUGCUAAGGCGGAUGCUCUAGCGGUGAAGACCCGUGCAUUUCAGUUGACUACCGAGGAGGCUCGGGCAACGCCUGACGUUGUGGUUGGUACAUGUGUAUUCUACUAUGCUCUAUGUUUAUUUGUAGUGCUUAUGUAUACAUUGUAAUUGUAUUGGGACCUUUUUGGUCAAUGGUAUGUCGGCGCAUGUUUUGUGUGGUUUGGGUGCUACUCGAUCGUUUGUGUCUCUUGCGCUCAGCAAGAAGUUCUGGGACGCACCGGGAACUUUGGAUUCCCCGAUCGAGGUAGAGAUUGCAGAUGACCGCAUUGUGAGUGUUGCAAGGGUGUAUCGGGAGUGUGUCCUAAAUGUGAUUGGUGAGAGGUUUCGCGUUGAUCUAGUCUUAAUACCGUUGUGAGGGUUGAAGGUGAUUGUCGGGAAGAUUAGUUGGGGGCCAAUGGGGCCGUGAUUGAUUGCGAGUGCCAGUUGGUGAGGGUUUGAUCCCCAAGUGGGGGAGAAAUAAUUAUACAUGGUGAGAGGGCCUCGCAAGGGCCAACUCUCUGUUCGGCUGCGAGGGCUAGGAGAUUUCUGCAGCAGGGAUGUACGGGAUUUCUGGUUUAUAUCUCAGAUACGAGGGUUGAGGCCACGACGGAUGUGGGCAGUGUGCCGGUUGCACAGGAAUUUUGGGAUGUAUUUCUUGAAGAGUUAUUAGGAGUGCCUCCAGAGAGGCAGAUGGAGUUUCGCAUUGAUUUGGUGUCGGGUUCCGCUCUGAUAGCGAAGGCACCAUACCGGUUGGCACCGCCUGAGAUACUGGAGUUAUCUACGCAGCUUCAGGAGCUGGAAGACUGAGGGUUCAUCCAUCCAAUCAGUUCCCCGUGGGGUGUACCGAUCCUAUUCGUGAAAAAAGGAUGUAUCACAAAGGAUGUGCAUUGAUUACCAAGAGCUGAACAAACUAACGGUGAAGAACCAUUAUCGGUUGUCGAGGAUCGAUGAUUUGUUCGAUCAGCUGCAGGGUGCGUCUUGGUUUUCCAAGAUUGAUCUUCGGUCGGGGUACCAUCAUAUGAGGAUUAGGGAUAAGGAUAUAUUGAAGACAUAUUUCAGGACUCGGUAUGGGCAUUACGAGUUUGUGGUGAUGUCGUUUGGGCUCACCAAUGCCCCAGCAGCGUUCAUGGAUAUCAUCAACAUGGUAUGUAGAUCGAUGCUGGAUCGGUCGGUGAUCAUUUUUAUUGAUGAUAUAUUGGUCUAUUCUAAGACCAGGGAGCAGCAUUAGCAGCAUCUGAAAGAGGUAUUGGAGACCAUGAGGGCGGAGAGGCUGCAUGGCAAGUUCUCCAAGUGUUAUUUUUGUCUACGAGAGGUACAAUUUUUGUGGCACAUCAUCAACCAGGAGGGCAUUUUGGUUGAUCCAGCCAAGGUUAAGGCAGUGAUGCAGUGGGAAAUACCGAAGAAUAUGUCUUAGAUCUGUAGGUUCUUGGGUUUAGUGGGCUAUUAUCGGAGAUUUAUCCAGGAUUUCUCCAAGAUUGAUGUGCCAUUGACCCGCUUGACCAAGAAGAAUGUGAAAUUUCGGUGGGGCACAGAUCAACAGUUGUCUUUUGAGACCCUGAGACAGAGGUUAUGCGUGGCUCCGAUCCUAGUACUGCCUGAGGGGUUAAACGAUUUGGUGGUGUACUGUUACACAUCGAUUUCAGGGUUAGGCGCGGUACUGAUGCAGAGGGCGCACGUGAUAGGUUACACCUCGACUUAGUUGAAGCCUCAUGAGGCGAAUAACCCCACUCACAACUUGGAAUUGGGGGCAGUGGUGUUCACCCUCAAGAUAUAGAAGAACUACUUGUAUAGAGUAUGGUGCACUAUCUAUACUGAUCACAAGAGUUUGAAGUAUUUGAUGGAUCAACAAAACCUCAACAUGCGACAGAGGACGUGGUUGUACGUGCUGAAGGAUUAUGAUUGUGAGAUCCAAUACCAUCCAGGGAAGGCCAAUGUAGUGGCUGAUGCUUUGAGCCUCAAGACGGCAGGGUCCCUGAUUGGUAACAUUUGUAUGAGGAGGUCGGUGAUCUCUCUAUUGCUGGAUAUGAUCAAGGAGGCCCAGGUCGAGGGAGUGAAGAAAGUGAAUUGGAAGAUUGAGAGGAUUUGGGGAUAGUAUCCUUUGUUUGUUAAGGAUAGUCGUGGCCUUUUGACACCGUAUGGCUGGGUGUGGGUACCGGUGACUGGAGGAGUGAGAUAGAGGAUAUUAAAGGAGGCACACAAGUCCAAGUUCUCUAUACAUCCAGGGGCUACGAAAAUGCAUAGAGACUUGAGACUGAGUUAUUGGUGGCCUUGCAUGAAGCGGGAGAUCGCCUGGUUUGUGGAGCGGUGCUUGACCUGCAUGAAGAUCAAAGCUGAGCAUCAGUGACCUUAUGGAAAGGUUUAGUCGCUACCCACUCCCAUGUGGAAAUGGGAAGAGAUCACUAUGGAAUUCAUCACGAAAUUACCGAGGACGGCAAGGGGUAUGGACGCCAUAUGGGUGAUCGUGGACAGAUUGACGAAGAAUGCCAACUUCAUUUCGAUUUCUGAGAGUAUAUCCACUGAGAGGUUGGCGGAUUUUAUGUACGGGAGGUGGUGGCGAGGCACGGGGUGCCCGUGUCGGUUGUCUUUGACAGGGAUGUUUUGUUUACAUCUAGGUUCUGGAAGAAGUUCCAUGAGGAACUCGACACCCAACUGCAUUUUAGUACGGCGUACCACCCCCAGACAGACGGUGAAAGUGAGAGGACGAUCCAGACACUUGAGGAUAUGUUGCGAGCAUGUGUGUUGGAUUUUGGAGGGAGUUGUGAUACGUACCUCCCAUUUGGUAGAGUUUUCAUACAAUAACAGUUAUCAUGCCAGUAUCGACCGAGCUCCAUUUACGAUGUUAAAUGGUCGGAGGUGCAGGACCCCGGUUUGUUAGGACGAGGUUAGACACCGGGUCAUGGGGAGCACUGAGGUAGUGCUCAAGACUACCGGGAUGAUUCAGCAUGUGCGCGACUGGCUGCGGGUCGCGUAAAGCCUCCAGAAAAGUUAUGCUGACCGACAGCGAUUGGAUCUUGAGUUCCAGGUGGGGGACUUUGUGUUACUGAAAGUGUCGCCCUGGAAAGGGGUUAUCAGGUUUCAAAAGAGGGGCAAACUAGGAUCUCGAUAUAUAGGCCCGUUCAGUUUAUGGCCCGGGUGGGCAAGGUGGCAUAUUGCUUGGAAUUACCGAAUGAGUUUAGCCAGAUUCACAACACCUUCCAUGUGUCGUAGAUUCGUAAGUGUGUCACUGACGAGUCCGCAGUCGUAUCUCUGGACGACAUUCAUGUAGAUGAGAGCCUAAACUACAUUGAGAGGCGUGUUACGAUUUUGGAUAGGAAGACCAAGGGUCUUCGAAACAAGGAAGUGAAACAUGUAAAGUUGCAAUGGAAGCACCGAAGGGGCUCGGAAUGGACAUCCGAGCCGGAGGAGGAGAUCUGGGAGCAUUACCCCGAUCUAUUCACAUCUACGGACUUUGAGGACAAAGUUUAGUUCAAGUGGGGGAGAGCUGUAACACUCCAAAUCAGUUAUCAUCUUGGAAGCCCUUGAAAAUUGUAAAUGUUGCAUAAUCAGUCCCUUAAGUACACUGGGCGUACUCAUGGGUACGCUUAACGACUUUGCAAGAAUGAUCGCAGAGGGACAACACGUACGCUGGGCGUACGUUACAAUUGUCCAAACCCUAAUUUCUAGACAUAAGACCUAUAUAAUCAUCCUUAUCUCCUUUGAGGCUCACCUUAAUUAGCCUCUUUCACAUUUAAACGUCUCUAAAAAUCCUAAUAGCAUUAGAGAGUGUUCUUUGAGCUUAAGGAGUGCAUUUGUGGCCAUUUUAGUGUCCAUUCACGAAGAAGAAGUUGUCAAGCAAUCUCUGGAGUGGCAUUGGGCUUCAAAAAUCUGUAUCUAGUUCACCUUGAUGAGCUUUUGGAGGUAUAAAGCUUUGAUCUUGCUUUCUUAUUCUUUAGAUCCAGUUAGGGUUUUCUUUAUGGUCCCUUUUGUUGCUUAUGGACAUUCUCCUAAGAGUUUAGCAACUCCAGAGGUUGAAAUGGUAAAACCUGAGCCUUGCGAUCAUGCUAGAUGCAUAAAUGUGCUAGCUUCGGGAGUAUCUAGACUCCAUGCAAGAGUUUGGGGCCUUAUAUGAAAUCCUAAUGUGAAGAAUGAUGUUUUUAAGUCCUAUAGAGCUUGCAAGGGCAUAAAGUUGCCAACUUUAUGCCCUAGGACGUCUUAAUGAGCUCAUAUCUGGUUUUGGAUAUUAGAACAUCGAGUAUUAAGCACUUAAUGGAAGGAAGUGCUUAAUCUAUUUGUACAUUGGGCAUAAGUUAGUGUACGACGCACGUACUGCUCAAGGACGUAGUAUGCUGCGCGUAUCAGUGUGGUACGCCAAGCGUACGCACAACAGUUAGACUUGGAUUUUUUUGGCCUUUGAGCUUCUGGGCCUCAAUUAGUCAUUGGGCCUAGUCAUGUUUUGGGGUUAGUGGGCCAGUUUAUCUGUGUUAGGCCAUGGAUGUUAUGAUUGGGCUUUAUUGGGCUAUAAGGUCCAUUAAUGAUUUUGGGUAUGGGCUUUGUGCCCAUUAACUAAGGAAGACCUUUGGGCCAUUGUGAAAGGACUUGGAGUAUGGGUUUUUUAGUUGGAUUGUGUUUAGCCCUAACCUUGGGUAAUGUUAUCAUUGUUCAGCACAGGAGGUUACGGACUGUUAGGAGAGCAGCUGUAAUAUCCGGAUUUCUAGUUAUGGUCAUUUGAUUAUUGAUUUUGAGAUAUGAGGAGUGACUCAAUGAGUUGAUGCCCUAACUCGUCGAGUAGGAUCGCAACUGAUGACUCGAAUUAAUGAGAGGACUUGACGAGUCGAUGAGUGGACUCGACUAGUCCGUGCUAUUGGCAGAAACCCUAAAUCCUUGGGCAUGUGCCAAAUUUAAGGGUCCUUAUGGCCUUCAUUUGCGACCACCCUUCCAGAGGAAAAAACCCUAGCAAACUUGAGCAUGUGAAGUGAGUGAGAGAGCCAUCUUGAUCUAUUUGUUGCUAGUGAAUGCUACAGCUACACCCGUAGACUUACAACACUCUGACACUAUCUCAUUCGUUGAUUACUAAUCCGAACACAUCCGACGUCGAGCAUACAUGCGAUCUAACAUCCAAAAUUGAACCCAUGUCCUGAUUGGAAUCCCCAAACUGAUUCCCUAAGGCUUGCUAGCAACAUUCCGAGAAUGCGAUCUCAUGAUUGGCAAGUUUUUCUGCACUUCCAUCUCACACUAUCCUCAAAUCAUACAACCGCUUGGGCUUUCUUCCUUCCUGAACAGGAUGUGAAACUUAUCCCAGUUUCAAAACUGAUUUUGCUUUUGAAUCCUAAAUCGAUUCUCCCCCACUUUGCUUCAACUAACGUCUUUCGAAACACAAUACUGGAAGGAUUCUCAAUCCUUCUUACCAUUCUAUGCCCAAUCUACUGGAAACCACGUUUACCAUUGCUAGUGUUUCAAUACUAGUCAGUCCAAAAGGUCACACCACCUCUAAGAACCCGAAUAAAUCUCUGGUAAUAACCCGCUAGACCCAAGAAGCUCUGAAUCUCAAUUGGAGACCUCGGAAUCUCCCACUGCAUCAGGACCUCUAUCUUUGCCGGCUCGACUAGAAUAUCCUUCUGAUUGAAAAGGUGCCCAAGAAAUUGCACCCCGCGCAACCAAAACUCACAAUUGAAGAACCUUGCGAAAAUUAUCUCCCUCCUCAAAGUCUCCAACACCUCCCUCAGGUGCUUCUUGUGCUGCUCCUAAGUCUUGGAAUAAACCAAGAUGACGUUGUACUUUCCCAAUCCUGUAAUUUGGGGAAUACUCUAUCACUAUUCGCUAAUGCUUCUCGGCAUGCAAUUGGCAUAUGACAUCUCUUGAAAAUAUAUUUCAAACACGGAUAGAGGAUAACCCAGAGUCACACUUACUCAAACCCCUGGAACGAAAGACUCUAUCGUAUAGUUUCCCGCAUGAGCUAUACUGAAUCUAACCCUGCUGGAUCCUCAGAAGCUGAUCUAAAAUCUGCGGUCUCCUCCCGAGACCCCUCACUAUAAGCAACUGAUCUGGUUUCCCCUUCCCAACGUGCUCCAAGUCAAUAUCUCGUCCUCGAGCUCUAAAAGUCUUAUCAUUCAGGGUCUCACACCCCGAGAUACUCACGAUCUCCCUGCUAUCAUUCUGCAGUAUGCCCUGAUACUUUAUCUUCUUCCAUUCCUCAUCUGCUGCAUACUGCGGUACCAACUAAGCUCUCUCCCGAGACUUGGCAGUGGUCUCUGCCACAAUAUCAGUAGUCUGGCGGAGAUCUAACAACUCUUGCACCAACUGCUGCGCCCCAAUCUCUUGGGAACACUUUGCCCAGAGUCUGGUCUAAGAGUCAUCCCAUGACAUAACAUUAACCGCAUCAUCACUCAACCUUCUACCAACCUCUUUCUAUCGAUCUCGUGCUCUGUCCCUCAGGAGACAGGAAAUAAGUCGGAUCUUGUCUCCUUUCGUCUGGUACGAAAAGUGUUGGCGACAUCUUCCAACCAUCUGCUGCUAACAAUGGGGUCCCUAACCCACAUGACAAUCUGAAGCUUCGCAAACUCUGAAUUCCUAAAACAUCAACGUACGGGUCCCUAUCAUGCAUGCUAUCUCAGUGCAGAAUGCACCCGACCUCUCAUAAAAAAUCUCUUUAAUGCACUCCUUGAUCACACUGAGGAUCACAGGAGUCAUGUCAAUGAUACCGCACGUAAUCUCAGAUGGAAUGAACUUCCUCAUCUGAUCAUCAACCUGCCUGGUUCUAGAGUCCGAGCAUGAUCCCUAAUCGUCACCAGAACUACAAUCUGGUCUACCACGUAGCGUCACUAUACUCGAUAAUAUACCAUCACUAACAUCACAAUACUCAUCAAAACUCGAUGGAUCUUCAUACACUACGUUCCAUGGUCUUAUCUCAGACUUCCUACUGGAAGGAAAUUCACCUCACACUACUGAAGUCCCAUAGACAUAACCCCACAUUGCUGAAGUCCUGCAGACUCAACCCCAGCUGUUGGAUGAUAGAUUCCCGAACUGUCAACACCAAAAUAACACCCAAUUAAUAAUUAGGUUCCACUACAUAACUAUAAAUACAUACUUUGGAUAAUUACUACAUUACCCCAAGCUUGGCUUACCCAAGCCCAAGGCCCAAUCAAUAGGCCCAAAAUCAACUAGGGAUCAAAGCCCAACAUAUGGCCCAAUUUUCCAAAUUGGGCCCAAACCUCUACAUGGGCUUCCCUUAAGGCCCAAUUGUCCAAUCCAUUCCAUAAUGUCCCAUUCUAAUGGCCCAAUAUAAUACAACCCUCUAGGCCCAAACUAUGGCCCAAUUUUCCAAAUUGGGCCCAAUCCUUCAUAUGGGCCUUACCCUAGGCCCAACUAAUUACUCUAGUCCAUUUGAUUAUUCUUGGAUGGCCCAUUGAUAAACCAAUUACCAAAACCCAAUCGAAAGGCCCAACUCAAGGCCCAAGUGAAACUAGGGUUUCACAUAAAAUGGCGAUUAGGGUUAAGUUUCAUACUUAACCGAUUAAGGGCUUAACUCACUAAGGACUUAAUCCAUUAACUCCAUUAUUGCUUAGAUUAAAUUCUGCCGAUGAUUAUUAUUUAAUAUUUCACUUAUUAAAUAAUUCUCGUGUGUGUCUUGAUAAAUUCUCAAAUAUUAGGAUUUUCUCAAUUAGCCCAUUAAGGACUUGAUCCAUUAAUUCCUUUACUCUACUAGAUAAAUGGCAUGGAAUAAUUUGGGCUUAAUUCACAAUCCAAUCCCAAUGGCUCACAAGUGGGCCCAAUAAGUUUAAGGCCCAAUACUCAUAUUUAGGAUUUUUCACCCAAACAUGGCCCAAUAGGCCCAAAACCAAUCUCUAAGCUCAUUAGGGUUUGCUAGCGGGGCACCACCCACUACCACCUCGGGUAGUGGUGGUCGAUGGCGGCUCACGGUGGCGGCCACCACCUUACAGUGGUGGUUAUUACCACCUUACGGUGGUGGUUAUUAAUUAUCCUUUUCAUUACUCAAUGCUAAUUACAUAUACAAUGCUCAAAACCAAAAAAAGACACACACACUAACUAACAUAAUACACACACAGCCACCCUAGUGGCGGCCGGCGGUGGCUUGUGGUGGCGAUGACUUUUUCCAGCCAAAUAAACACACACAACACCUAUACACGUUUCUCAUUUGCACUAUGGACCCAACCACCGACCUGGUGGCUCACGGUGGUCCCGCAACAGCAGCAACACAUCGUCCAUCAGCAACAACAGUGGCAUGGAGGUGACCAUGGCUUUUGACAAUUACCUAUGUCUUUCAUGACUCCUCACAUGCAAAUGACCACGCUAUCAAGUCUUUACUCUGAAAACGAACCCAAACCCACCGGAGAAGAUAGAGGUAUGCCGGCCCCGACAUCAGCCUCGUCUCCAGAAAUCGCUGGCAGCAAACAACAGCAAUGGACUCUGGCGUCUCCGAAAGUCAGUGUCGUGAUAACGACGUUCACCUGACACAACAGUAGCGACCACAGCCUUGGUGAUUCACACGGCGGCGAACGACUCACACGAUGACGAUGCAGUGGCUCUUCCCGGUCUUCGGUGAAACUAUCGAUGACUCACGUCGUUGCCGGCAGUGAGUCUUGAUGGUGGCGGUUCCAUGGCAUGGUGGUGGGCGGCGACCUCAAUGAUCGGAGAUGUGAGAGUAAGAGGGGUGGCGGCUUCAUCAUUUAGGGUUAGGUUUCGCAUGGGUGGAGUAGGGUGACAGGUUUAAUACCCGAUUACAUAACUUUGUGAUCUAUAAACAUCUUUGGUCCCUCUAAUCCGAUUUCUUUUCAGUCUUGCUCCUUUAUUUACACUUUAGACCCCAACUCCUAAAUUCUUUUCAAUAUAACCCCAAAAUUUACUAAAAAGCCCCUCCUCCAUAAUUUAUUCUCAAUUUGAAUCCAACACUUACACUUUUAGUCCAUGACUCCAUAAAAUCUUUUCAAUUUAAAUCCAUUAAUUACCAAACGUACCCUUGCUUCUAAAAUUCUUCUCAAAACAACUUUGUAACUUACUAAACAACCCUCCACUAUUAGAAUUCUUCACAAAUUUAUCCGAUAAUUAUAUUUAUUAAUUUAUUUAAAUAAACGGGGCGUUACAUAUAUACAAGAAACUGAGUGGGUCAGGCUUGGGAGCCUGGUGAGCACAUAGGGUUUUCAACUCACAAUAAUUAAGUUUACUAAUUUCAUCAAAUCAUUCAACCUGAGUACCCAUUCCCGUUAUCCUCACCGUACCUCCCUAAAACAUCUAUUAUACGGGACCUAGCCUAAGGAUUUUCAUCGAGGUGACAAUACUACUUAGGGGAUUCCUCAAGACUACAUGUCAAAUAAGGCAACCAUGAGGGGGAUGGAGUACAUCUGUUUAACACAUAGUUCAAAUAAACACCUACAUGUUGCGUGCCUGGAAGCGUUCCACUAGACUGUCUAGAAUAGUCUGUGGGUGUCAUCUAUACUCCGCUAGAUGACUGGAUCAUCAUAAACAUCGAGGUCUCUCGUCAUUUUAUCACACAUCAACUAUUUCAUCUACCCAUGUUCUACCCAACAUUUUCGUAUUUAUAAAAUACAUAUACAGUUUAAAUCAUUUUAAACAUGUAUAAAUCGUUUAUCCAUCAUAAAUAUCAAGAACACAUAUAAUAUGCAUACAUAGCAUGUAAUUUAUAUUAAAUACUUCAUAUCUAUGUGUAAGAUGAAAGUAACUAUGCACCCACUUGUUAAAGUGGAGAGUCCAACUUUGACAGCACUUCGUUUCUUAAUAAUAUAAUUUCCUUCGACGAAACCUAGUAUUAUUACCACUAGAUUUUAAUCUAAUAUUUAUCGUGACUAUUUACGAGCGAUAUUGUUUUAUAAGUGUUAAACAAUACUUUUCAACCACUAUGGGCCAGACAUGAAACACCGGAGGGCGGGACCAUUUUGGCAUUAUAGCACUUCUGAAAUCCAACAACCCUAUGCGGCCCUUCAAACCAGAUUCCCCGUACCGGUAGUAGUUAAAAGAUAUUAUAAUAACACUUUAUNAUAUAUAUAUAUAUAUAUAUAUAUAUAUAUUGUUUAUAAGUUCAUAAUAACGAUAAUAAAUUUAAAAAUAAGCUAUACUUAAAGUAGGGUAAGCAUAACUCACUUACCGGGAUGUUUGGCUAGAAAACAAGCUCUGCGGGGGCAGAACUUCCGAGCCGAAAAGCACUUUUUCUCGGAGCCUUCUGGCGCUCCUCUAGCACUUAAAAGUUACUAUAGGUUAGGGUAGGUUUAGAGAGAGGUUAGAGAGAGAGAGAGAAGGGUGAUGGUGUGAAGAAUGAAGCAACCCUCACACCCUUUAUAUAGGGGUCUGGUCUUAGGUUAUGCAGGGCGUACCUUGGAUGUACACUGCACAUAUGAGAUUACGCUGCACAUAUGAAGGGGGCGUGUUUCAACCUUCGGAUGGGGCGACAUGAUUGAUCCAGAACCUAGUAUGCGAGAAUGCAGGGCGUAGGGCUUCUCUGUGCAGGGCGUUCAUGUGUAAUCUCGCAUCAGCCGUUCCGACUUCUAAAUUCCGUAACUUUCGCAUACGAACUAUGUUUUCGAUGUUCUUUAUAUCUAUGCAUAGGUGGAGACAUACUCUACCAUUUUUAUUUAGACCAUGUUGGUUAAUUUUGACUUUAUUUUUAAAGUUAUAUUUUAACAGGUCUGGACAGAUAAAGUCCGCUAAAAAUUCAUAACUUUGUCACCCGACAUCCGUUUUUGUCUGUCUUUUUAGCGUUGAGCUCUCAUUAACGAGAUCUUCGAUUCUCAUUUAGGUUGUGUCGGCUAAAAUUCGGUCAAUCUAAUAUUCGAAUUUCGGGCUACAUACUGCUAUGCGAAAUCAUAGACAUCAUAACUUUCUCAUACGAAGUCAGAUUUAGACGUUCUUUUUAUGAAUGCUCUCGGUUAAACGUAUACUAUGGAAUUCGCUUAGAACGCUAAGGAUAAAAAGUAAUUUAUCGUAAACUCACUUUUCACGUCACACCAUGUCGAGCCGGUUUUUUCGCGAAACUUCGACAUGUUAUAAAUUCUUCUUUAUAACUUGGAUUUUGGUGUUCUUUAUAUCUACGGAAUCCUUGUCACAACCACUACGAUUUUCUUCAUAGAUAUUAGGUUUAUCUAUUAUUUUAUUUUUGAUGCUUAUUUUCAUUCUUAAUUUAUUAUAUCUUAUAAAUAAGUAUAAUGCACAUAAAAUCACAUAAUUCACAUAAUAUUCAAGUAAUCCCUCUUUAUUACUUGAAAAUAGGUUACAAUUGUUGACCCUAACUAUUACAUCAUUACACUAAUGCUUAGCCUAGAGACACGAACGUUACAACAGAUCACGUUCAUGUAGAUACCAUUGAACUACAAUGAGGCUUUGUUGGCGGUCCUCCAUAUCGAGUAAAGUUGAUCACAAUUGCGGUACUGCUUUUUCAUUCGAUGACAAAGACUAUCCAAACUCUAUCUUUAACUGUUGUCGAAUCUUGGUUAUCGCCUGUCACCGGAUCCGUCGACACAUAUAGUCAUGUUUGCGCUAGUGCCCUCUCUUCAUCAUCCAUCCACCCUUUGCAUGGAGCCUUCAUUUUUCCUUCAUGUUUUCAUGUUAGUUCGACUUCGGGUGCAUGAAAUGUCUCUUGAACAGGAUCUUCAACAGGUCCUUCAUCGGAAGAAUCGGUUGAGUCAUCGAAUAGGCGGCGUUGUUGGCAUUGAAAAUUACUUUGGCGUUGUGGUUGUGAAAAGGAUUGGUUUUGAUAAAUUUGCAUGGGUUGAGAGGAGUACGGAUUGAAUGGAAACAUUUGUGGAGCCUUAGUGGGAAAGUAGUAGUUAGCAGGUGAAUUAAUGGGUUGAUCAAAUGAAGGUCGCUAAUAUGGUGGUGAUGGAAGGUUUGGUAAUUAAGGGUUUUGAGAUGGAAAGUUUAGUGAUGGAAGGUUUGAAGAUUUUUGUUAUUGUUUCUUAGGGUUUUCUUUUGACUAUACGAAUAUAUUUUUGUUUGGUGAAUUGAGAGUGUUUGUGAGAGAGAUAAUUUAUAAUAGUGGAAUUGUAAUUGAAAAUUACGAAUUUUUAUAAUAAGAAACGUUUUUUUUUAAUUAUAACUAGAUGAGUGACCCCACAUUUGCGGGGCCAGAUUUGUAUUUUUUUUUGGUCUAGUGGUUAUAAAGCCUUUGUAUUCUACAUUUUUGGAGAGAUCAUGUUGGUUGUAACAUAAAAGUAUUUAUGAUGAUAUAUAGAAAACAUAAUAACAAAAAAUUUGUAAUUGUAGUUUACGCAAACAAAUGACAAAUAGAAGUAUGAUGGUAUAAGUUAAUACACAAAAAAUUGAAAAUACAUUCUUCUUAUUUUUACCAAAGUAAACAUGACAAUGGAAUAGAAUGGUUCAUUCCAUUCCACUGUUCAUUGUAGCUUUUAAAUCGUAGACUGGAACUACCUUCGCCUACCUACACUAACUUCCUUGCCUUACGAAAAGCAGAAUAAAUGCCUUAAACCUUGUUCCAAAAACCAUAGGAUUUGGAAUAUGAUUGACACUUCAAGCUGCAAGAAGAGUUCAAUAAAAAAAUGUUAUUUUGCAAAAAAAAAAAAAAAAAAAAAAAAAAAAAAAAAAAAAAAAAANAAUAGAUGAUCGUAAGAAUCAAGUACGUUGCUAUUAUCAAUAAAGUUCGAAUUAUCCAAAACUUCCUGUCACACCAGUAUAAUAUCAACAAUAAAAAACUUAAUGCAAUUUUAUAUAUGUUAAUUAAAAUCAUAAUCAUACCUUGCACUCCCCUUCUCUACAGUAGAUGAUGCCCUUAAAUGGAUGCCAAUUUAGAUCCCUUAGAUGGGUAAAGAGGUAAUUGCCACAUAUUUAUUUCUAAAUUGGCAUUUAGUUAUUCAUAAUGACUGCUUCCCUCAUCGAUGCUCUGCAAAUGUAUGAAUCUUCAAAAUUUAACAAUAAAAUGCUAUAAAUGAAAUACAAGCUGUGAAAGUAUAUGAGCAUAUGCACAACAAUAAAAAGAGAAUAAAAUUUAAAAAAAAUCAAACUAAAAAUUAAAAUGAUUAAAAAUUUAUCAAUGUGAGAGACCGGAUAUUAUCAUGUAUCACCAUUCCCAGAGAGGGUGAAAAGGGAUUUUUCAAUUCCUGUGUUUUUUAUGAAAAAACAAAAUAUAGUAAAUAUAUAAAACUACUGAUGUUUAUUAUCAAGUUCAAUUGUAUGUGACAUUCAAUUAUAUAUCCUGCAAAAACAGAGAUUCGGAUGGAAUGUUGAUAUAUGAGAGCUUUUCAUAAGACGUUUAAGGUAAUCUAAUCUGAUUUAACAUAAAAGAUAAACUGUAAAAGGUAUUCCUCUAAACUAAAAGUACACAAUACCAUCUCCUUCAGUGACCAGUGUGAUCCUUGUCAAGCAAUUAACCGCAGUGGUUUUCCCAGCUCCAUUAGAUCCUAGAAGACAAAAAAGCUGAUCCUUUGGGAAGUUCAUACAUAAUACCUAUAAAUAAGUUUAAAGAAAAAUCAGCUUAUAUGAUACACUUUUACAAAAGCAUAAAAAAAUAGUUAUGUACUUUCACUUCAUUGUAUGGUGCACUUCUCUUGCAAUUGUGUCAACCAAUAUUACUUCUUCCAGGAUACAGAUCAAUAACACCCUCGGAAAAAAAUGUAUUGAAAUUGUCAAAUGUGAACUUAAAUUAGAAGAGAAAAUUUUAUAGAAAAUGCAAAAAUCAAUUAUACUUGAGAACCGAUAAUGUAAUUUAAUCUAAUUGAAACCUACAAACAUAGAAUUUUUAGUAAUCAACUACUAACAUAAUGUUCUAAGCAUUUUGUGAUAGGCGAAGAACAUCACCAUUUUUACCUUCAAAGAAGUGCUUGGUAGCCUCAAUCACUUCAUGCCUUGAUGGGUUUCUUCAUUUGCAUUAUGCUUUAGAUUAUUCAAAUACUGUAUCAAGUUAUACCUUAGUAUGAUAUGUUAAAUCAAAAAUGUGUUUUUGCUUCUUCAAACUCCAAAUCUGAAAAACAAAAUAUUAUUAUUAUUAUUAGAAUUCAAGUCGAAUUUCAAGAAACUACCCGUUUUACUAUUCAAAAAUUCAAUUUUUAAUCCAUUACAUUUACCAAAAUAAAUACCAACUAUCUUUAUUUCUCGCCACUGUCAAUCCUUUGAUUACAUGAUAUUUUUCUUGAGUUUCUAAAUCUAAAAAUCAAACAACUAAGACCAGAAAAACAUUACAUAAGUAAAAAAUGAAGUAGCAACUACAUUCUAUUAACCUUGCCAACAUCUUGUGCAAUACCAUGCCAAAAAACCACAAAAUAGACAAAUACAAACCUAACAAUUGAAGGCAAUCAAAGCAUAAAAUCUUCAACGUGCCAUUUUGUCGAACAUCUUGUGUACAGUAAGAAAAUGCUAAUAUUGUCAUAAAAAAUAUCCAUGUAUGGUUGUAAAUCACUCAAAAUCCAGGAAAAAAAGAAUAAAAAUCAGAUAAUGAGAAAUUGAAAAAAAUAGGACAUUAUUAUUUAACUAAUUGUGUGAUUUCAUCAUAACAGAUCUAAAGGACCCAAUUGGUUAUUUGAUAUCUAAUGUUUACAUAUCUACUGAUUUAACUUGGGUCUUAUUUUAUGAAGUCAAGUAUGUACUGGUAUUAGUGGGCCACCACCUCAUCGAAAGCCAAUAGAUAACAAUGAAACAUAUAACAAACAUGGAAAGACAAAGAUCAAUACAUAAAUAAUGAAACUGAAGAAACACAAAAGAAAAAAAAUAAAGGGGAAAACACAUUAGUUGAUUUCCUCAACUUGCUGAUAUAGAUUCAUGGAAUUAGAAGGAAAAAUAUAGGAAACAACAAAAUAAAUAAAUAAAUAACAAUACAAAAGAACAAAAGAAUAAAAUAAAAACAGCAGUUAAAUGACCUAGAAAUAAAAAAAAGAACGAUGUAAAUAGACAAUUAAGGGAAAGAACUUACGAAGAACCGAAGGGAACACAAUAUGACAUCAGACAGCUAUGCAAACUUCCUUCACUGUUUAUUAAUCAUGUAUCAGAAUAAGAAAACUAAGCACACAAUAUUAACCUUACAUAUAGGUUAGAUGGGGAAAAGUAGGGAAAAGAUACCUAAAGAGGAGAGAUGAGUGGUAAUAGAGACUAAGGGUGCGUUUGGUUGUGGAAAACUAUUUUCAUUUUCUAUGAAAAUGUUUUCAGAAAAUAGAGUUGAGUUUUCAUUUUCAGUUUUCAAUGAAAACGCGUUUGGUUGGAACGGGUGAAGUUUUUAUUUUCCAUCUUAGAAAUUUGGAAAACUGUAAAAAUCACUUUUCUAAUUUAGAUACAAUUUUGAAAACUGAAAAUUUUCAUUUUCUUAGAAAACUUUGGAAAACUAAACGAACCAAACGUGUUUUCAAAAUUUCCAUUUUUCUUAAAAAUGUUUUCUAGAAAAUUGGAAAAUUUUCCACAACCAAACACACCCUAAACCUUUUCCAUCUCCUCGCCUCUAUAGAUGUUGGUUUGAAAAAAACUGUGUUGUGGUGAGUAGAUACCAAUUGAGCACCAGCCAACCACUUUAACAUUUAGUCCCUGUUGCUUCACCAUUUGUUGUUCUUUUAACAUCUUAAACUACAAAGAAUGCUCAAAGCUACAAAAGAAUUGUAAUUAGCUGGGUAUAAAUGAGAAGCAAAAUAAAUAUGGGUUAAACCAUGUUCCUAACUAAAACCUCUACCAAUGAUUUUUUUUGGUAGAUUCAUCGCCAUCUGAGAGCCCUUCUAUAUUCAAUUUCCUGGUUCGAACACAGAAGUCGUCAUGUCACUUUUUCUCCAGUUUCUAGUUGUUCCGAUACAGCCAAUACACAUAGGUGCAAUAAACAGUCCUUGAGGGAGUCUACCCUAUAGUCUUGAAUCUUAUGGGAGUGGAUUAGUUCCAUUUUAAAUCAAGUAAAUGUGAACUUGGAAAGUUUUGGAAGAAUUUGUAUAUAAAAAAACAUGGAGUAGUCGGUUGAAUCGGGUCGAUGAGAUAACCUGAAGAAGGAAUGUUAUACUCAUCUUCGUUUCUCAUUCGAUUUCGAUUGUUAGAAUAUAGAAGGAAAAGGGAAGACAAUCAUAAGGACGUGUAGAGGUGGUGGAAACGAUCCACUUGAAAAUGUGGCUUGUUGGAAAUCAAAGCCCUAAUCAAAUCGAGAAGGAUAAAAGAAAAAUCGAGGAAGUCAUCGUAGCUACAUCUGGUUUUUGGCAGUGAAAAAAUUUUAAGAGAAUAAGAAUUUAGGAAGACAAUAAAGUCGAUGACGGUGGAUAGAGUCAGUGAAGAAGAAGCUGAUCAGAGAAAGAAUGGUGGUGGAAGGACACCAAUCAGUGGAGCCGAUGACGAUACCAUAAAAGGCACAUCUUAAUAAAGUUGGAUUUGAAGUGGUGCAAGGUAAUUGGAUGAGGAGGCGGUGAAGAGAUGUAGAUUCAUAGAAGAGGAACACGUAUCUUGCCCAUUGAAUCAGAAAGCUGAUGCGACAACACGUGGUCCUAAUAAUAUAGAUAUUGAUAGAAAAUGACCCAAAACAUAGAAUAGACAGAAGUAAACACACUAACAUUAAUGGAGGACCAGUUUUGCCAAAACCUUAGGAACUUUAUUGUUCCUAAGGAUGGUCCUCCUUUAAUAUAUAUAUAUAUAUANGGAUCUCAUUUUUGUUUUGACCAAGUUUAUAUAUAUAUAGGCUUAGGUUAUUUUGUUUUUACUAAGUAUUGUGUGCUAGAAUGCACAGAUCUGGACCAACGGAUGAAAUUAAUCAAUGGACAUGAUUUGAGAGUGUAUGAUAUUACAAUGGUGUAACAUGUACCAUAUAAUCACAAAAUUUUUAGCAAAAGGGUAUUUUGGACAAUUAACUACAUUUAUAAAAUGAAAUUAUCGAAUUUUUAGGGAUGACUAAUUCUCCUAAUUUAAAAAAAAUAUGAAUUUUUUAAUUAAUUCAAUUUCAAUUUUUACCGAUUUUAUUCUGUCAGAAUAUUUUUUGUUAGAAUGAUGCUCUUUCAGAAUUUUGUUCUAAUAGAAUAUUAUUUAAGAAAAACAAAAUUCUUGAAUUAGAUGUUGAAAAAUAACAAACAUUCUAAUAUAUUCUUAUACAUCCGAACUUAAAUACAAAUUCAUACAGACUAAAAUCCUUAUACAUUUUAUAUAUAGUUAUACAUAUUCUGAUAGAAUAUCCACUUGAUCUUCUCAUAUAUACUUGUUGUUGAACUCGAUUCCAAAUAUUUCUCUUGUAUGAUCAAUAUUGAAUUCUUCCCCAUGCAAUUCUAAAAGAAUAAGAUAUAGUACCAUUCAAACAUUCUCAAAAAACCUUCUAACAGAAUGCGUUUAUAUAAAUAAAUUUUGACAGAAUACAUUACAGAAUGCACUUAAAUAACCUUUUUUGCAAUCAAAAUCCACCUUGCCAAUAUCCAUGUGAAAUUUAGAACCAUGUGAAUUUUAGUAAAAUGAUUUCCUAUCUACAACCAUUAAAAUCUAUCUUUGAUAAAAAUUUAUAUUCUAUGAGAAUGUCAUUAAAUCAAAUUCUAGGCAUUUACAAUAUGUGAGAAAUUUGCCAUAAAAACAAAAUUCUAGGCAUUCUUGAAUGUUUGAACAAUCAUAUCCUCCAUCAGAAAAUAAGAAAUAACAAUUUGAGCUGAUAAUUUGGCCCGAAUAGCCUGUUGUACUCUUUUGUAGUUUUGCAUAAGCAUAAAACAGAAAAUUAAUUUAUUGACAAAGAAAAUCGAGUUUUGAGUUCAAUAGAUUAGAAUUGUAACUGCACAACGAACAUGAAUUUGUAAGAAAAGUUGCAAUUUCUACAAUAAUCGAUUACUAUUUUAUAUACAACCCUCUAUAGAAAUUAAUGGAAAGAAAAUAAAACAAACCUCAACAUAAGUCAAUGAUGGAAGUGUGGUUGAAAAUUGGAAUCGAUUGGCAUCAAACAAAAAUCAAAACACAAGAAAAACAUACUUGCAACUAUGGUUAAUUGGUCGUUGAUGGCAACUAAUGAUACAUGAUGAAGCAGAAUGUCUACUUACCUCAAAAUCGACACCACCAGGCACCCCUUUCUUCUUCCUACUCGAUUUCAGCCUCACUUCCCUUCAUCCUCUUCUCUUCCGAUCGCACAACCCCUCCCCUCCAGAUUUCUUUUUCUCGGCCGAUAGCAAAAAGGGAACCAACGAAACACGUCCUCGCACAAUGGACUUGGACGGCUAGGGUUAGUUUAGGGCCUUUUAUGGUAACUGUUCCAUUAAUUAAGGAGUUUUAUAUCUAUAUAAGAGAAUUAUUUUUGGUUUAAUAAAUGAAGGUGAUGUAAAGUUACAAAAUUACCCUUAUAUUAUUUUUUAAUAAUUUUAUUAUUCCUAAAUUCCUAUUGGUGCAUUUAUGCACACAAUAGUUGCUAAAAACAUUUGAACCUAGCUCUCUCUCUCUCUCUCUNNNNNNNNNNNNNNNNNNNNNNNNNNNNNNNNNNNNNNNNNNNNNNNNNNNNNNNNNNNNNNNNNNNNNNNNNNNUAUAUAUGAAUGUACAAAAGUGAAUGGAAAUGAAUGUCCUGAAAAUAAAUUCAAUCAAAGGGAAAUUGCAACCUGGUCCAACCCCUCCUCCACUAAUCACAAUCCUCUAUUCGUUUCUCUCUCAUCUCGCCAACAAUUUAGCGAUGGAAGCUUAACGAGCCCCCUAACGAGCGCUAAGGGCGGUGUUCUCCUCCUUUUAGCGACCCUAGCGAUCCGGUAGCGAGCAUCCACUCCGUUUUGUCUAAUUGUAGAUGGUUUUCAUUGUUUUCAUUUCCUAGUGGUUGGAGUGUUAGAUAUAUAGAAGGGCAUGAUUAUAAGAAGACAACUUUGAGCGAAGGUUUUUAUUAUUAUUAUUAAUAAUUUUUUUUAGUUUCAACAAUAAAUUAUAUCUUAAUUUAUUUAUAUUUUAAAUAACAUGAAAAAAAUUUAUUAAAACUUUUUUUUGUCCUUAGACAACUGUAGUAUCUUUAAAAGUAUUUUUUCUAGUAGGGAUAUGCAAAACUUAUAACUGAUAUGCAUUUACACAUUUAGUCAUUCAAGUUUUUUUUAUCCACAAAAGACCAUUAAAGUUAAAUUUUACCUAUUAAAUAUAUCAUUAUAUAACCUGAUAAAGAAGAAGCCAGUUGCUUUUAUGACGUGACAUUUUAAAUUAUAUUUUUUUAUAUCUUUUUUAUGAUGUGGCAUUUCUUUAUAUAAGUUUUGUUAUAGAACAUAUCAAUUGCGAAACAUUUGUUGUUCACACUCUCAUCUUCUUCACCAUUUAUCACAUCCUUAUCCUUGUUGUUCAUAUCCACAUCUUCUUCACCUCCUCCAUAUAAAUCACGUUCUAAUCGAUGUUUUAAACCUAGAAAUUUAUAUUGCAAUCGUUUUAUUCUACUAGUAAUUUUACAAUCAAAAACUCCCUAAUCCGCCUACUAGAGGUGUUCAUGAUUCUUAGAUCCCUCGCCAGAAAAAUAUCCCAACGACAAGUACACUGAGAAAAAAAACCAUCUAUCAAAGUCAAGAAACACACCUUUAACAAAUCUAGAAAACACACCAUCGCUUCUGUCUGGUUCUGUUCUGCCUAUCGUACCUAUCACUAUCGCUAACCUUCAAAAUAGGACCUUUUAUAACUAAAUGGAAUCAAUUUCAAAAAUUGAUGCCUCUCAUCCUCCUUCCUCCUAAUUCAGAAUAUGAACAAGGUGUGAUUAUGUUUUCAUGUGUUUCAAGAAAAAACCGAUAUUAAUUCUUCCAAAAAUCGAGCUCAGUUUGUAGAUUUCUUCCAAAGUGAUUUCAUAUACUAGAAAACAGCCAUGGAAACCACAACAGUUCUCACUUAAAAUUGAUCGAUUUAAUAAAGGUUAUUCCAUGGCUUCGAAGUACGUCUCACUGAAACCAUAGCAACCGUCUUGAUGGAAAUAGUAGCAACGGUCUUCGUGAAGAUCGAGUGGGAUGGAAGGGGACUAUCAUUGGAUUUUUUUUCAUAGAGAUACAAGAGCGAGUAGUCAUAAAUAUGAAAUUGAAGAUGACCAAGGUUAUGGCCUUCAUUGGUUGCUUGUGUUUUUGUGUUUUGAUUCCUCUUUCUUCAAUCGAUUGUAGGUUUAAAUCGAUGGGUCUAAAAAGAACUCAAAUCCUUCCUUAUUAUGAUUCAUGUUUUGUUAGAGUGCUAGAAAUUUGAGAGGAAAAUACGUACAAGGGGAGAGAUUAUUUUGAAGGGUGAAGAUGGCUUGCAGAAAUGAAGAAAACAAAUACAGGAGAAGAUAAUGUUGAUGGAUCCCUAAGAGAGAGAGAGAGAGAGAGAGAGAGAGCUCAAACAUAAAACAUGAAAUGGAAAAAUAAAAGCCAUAGGGAUGAAGUUUUGAUUUCUAUUUUUUUUUUUAAAAAAAAAACCCACAUAUACUAUGUUUUAUCAGUGAAACCGAAAUUAUAUUGGAUGAUUAGUCUAUUUAGCAGGUAAAACUUAAUUUUAAUGGUUUAUUGUGCAAAAAAAAAACUUGAUUGACUAAAUAUUUAAAUGCAUCAAACUUUGUUGUGCUACAAUCCCAAAAACCUCAUAAACUAUUUUAAUUCUACAAGACACCUUGGAUUAUUGAAACGUGUAAACAACAAACUAGGGAUGAGCAUAUGGACCGGGGAACCGGCCGGAACCGGUACCGGAACCGGAACCGGCACCGGAACCGGAACCCGAUGGAACCGGUCGGGCCGGGACCGGGACGUUAUUUUUGUGGAUUUUUGGAACCGAGAACCGGUAGGAACCGGAACCGGUAGAACCGGCAAAAACCGGAACCGUAUGAUGCUAUUUUUCAAGGAGCGGUUCCAACAUUUGAAGACACGACAAGAACCAGUAGGAACCGGGAACCGGUAGAACCGCCGGGCCGGUUCGGUUCUUGAUUUUGGCCGNCUGUUCUUGAUUUUGGCCGAAGCCGGUUCCCCGGUCCGGUUCGGUUCGGGCCGGUUCGGGCCGGUUCGGUCCUUUUGCUCAUUCCUACAACAAACUAUAUAUUUAAUUUUUAUCUUUUUUUUUAAACGACAAAUCUAAUCUACUCCCAAACUACACCUUAAAUCCACCUAUGUCAACGACGAGACUUGAACCCUCAAUCUCAACGAGAAAGGACAACACCGGAUACCGCUAGGCUAUAAGCCCUUUGAUAGGCUACCAACAAGUGCUUCUUCGGUUCUUCGGCUACUAUAAUAUUCAGAUUUAGGAAGUAUACGAUCCAAUAAAUACAAAUAUUUCACAUUAUUACAUAAAAUAAGUAAAUACAAUGUAUGAACACUUAGCUAAUCACCUCGUCUACUAGUCGCUUGUUAGUCUCGGUUUUAUAUAUAUNNNNNNNNNNNNNNNNNNNNNNNNNNNNNNNNNNNNNNNNNNNNNNNNNNNNNNNNNNNNNNNNNNNNNNNNNNNNNNNNNNNNNNNNNNNNNNNNNNNNNNNNNNNNNNNNNNNNNNNNNNNNNNNNNNNNNNNNNNNNNNNNNNNNNNNNNNNNNNNNNNNNNNNNNNNNNNNNNNNNNNNNNNNNNNNNNNNNNNNNNNNNNNNNNNNNNNNNNNNNNNNNNNNNNNNNNNNNNNNNNNNNNNNNNNNNNNNNNNNNNNNNNNNNNNNNNNNNNNNNNNNNNNNNNNNNNNNNNNNNNNNNNNNNNNNNNNNNNNNNNNNNNNNNNNNNNNNNNNNNNNNNNNNNNNNNNNNNNNNNNNNNNNNNNNNNNNNNNNNNNNNNNNNNNNNNNNNNNNNNNNNNNNNNNNNNNNNNNNNNNNNNNNNNNNNNNNNNNNNNNNNNNNNNNNNNNNNNNNNNNNNNNNNNNNNNNNNNNNNNNNNNNNNNNNNNNNNNNNNNNNNNNNNNNNNNNNNNNNNNNNNNNNNNNNNNNNNNNNNNNNNNNNNNNNNNNNNNNNNNNNNNNNNNNNNNNNNNNNNNNNNNNNNNNNNNNNNNNNNNNNNNNNNNNNNNNNNNNNNNNNNNNNNNNNNNNNNNNNNNNNNNNNNNNNNNNNNNNNNNNNNNNNNNNNNNNNNNNNNNNNNNNNNNNNNNNNNNNNNNNNNNNNNNNNNNNNNNNNNNNNNNNNNAUAUCGAUGGCCUGCUUCAAGAAAAGCUAAUCAGCUCGUGAAACUGAAAAUAGUCAAUGCAUGGAAACCCUUUGUUUACCACCAAAGCUCUAUCUAAUAGAUUGCAAUAAUUACAUAACAUUUAACACUUUCCCAAAAACUCUAUAUAAUAUAUAUGUAGAUAAGAAUGCAUGUUCACAGUUUACUCUCUGUCCCGACCUUUCCAUCUCUAAAGUUCUUCUCUACAUUGAUUCGAAGAGUUUUGAUCUUAAAACUUUAAGGGCUUUAUUGCGUGUGCCGAGAUAUUGUAAAGAUCAAUCAACCAACAGAAAAUGGUGAUUGAAGGACGUUAUAUAUAUAAUAUUUGUUGCUUCAAUAUAUUUUUCAAGGUUCUAACUUCUAAAAAGCUGCUUUUAUCAUGACAUAUCAUAGUUCCGAGGCUUGUGUCAUGGGUCAUGUUUUAAUAAAAUGUCAGGUAAAUUAUAUGUGUACUCCAACUGUUUUGUAAGAUUUAAAUAGUCAAAAUAUCAUGUUUUUAACAUUUUAAAAAAAAGUUAAAUUGUAUGCACUCUAACUGUUUGAUGAAAUGCAUAAACUAAGUUACCACGUUAUAUUCAUAUAUGAAUAUGUUUUCUCAGUAUAUGAUUAUUAAAACAAAAAAACAAAUGCGCAAGUCUGUAUGUUAUUCAUAUGUGAAUAGCAUAUAAAAAUUAUAUAUAUAUUUGUGAAAAUACCUUGUAAUAUUCAUAUGUGAAUAUACUGUGUAAUAUUCAUAAGUGAAUAUAUCAUCCAAUAUUCACAAAUGAAUAUACUAUGUAAUAUUCACAUGUGAUAUACCAUGUAAUACUAUGUAAUAUUCAGAUAUGAAAAAUAUUAUAUAAUAUUCAUAAGUGAAUAUAUACCAUCUAAUAUUCACAAGUGAAUAUACUAUGUAAUAUUCAUAUGUGAAUGUAUCGUCUAAUAUUUAAAUAUGAAUAUAUUAUGUUUAUUAUAUGCUAUAUUCAUAUAUGAAUGAUACUUAAAUUGUAAAAAAAAAAUUAAUCAUAGUUUUUAUUCAUAACUGAAUAACGAAUGUACUUUAGUAAAAACCUGAUUCAUUUUUAUUCACUUAUAAAUAACGAUAGCUGAAAAUAUAAAAAAAAAAUUUAUUUUAUCUUAAAACUAUAUCAAUAUGGAUGUCUAUUUGUAGAGAAUAAAAAAUCAUGAAUUUUGGUAUAUUUAAAAUCAUUUUUCGAUAAAAAUANNNNNNNNNNNNNNNNNNNNNNNNNNNNNNNNNNNNNNNNNNNNNNNNNNNNNNNNNNNNNNNNNNNNNNNNNNNNNNNNNNNNNNNNNNNNNNNNNNNNNNNNNNNNNNNNNNNNNNNNNNNNNNNNNNNNNNNNNNNNNNNNNNNNNNNNNNNNNNNNNNNNNNNNNNNNNNNNNNNNNNNNNNNNNNNNNNNNNNNNNNNNNNNNNNNNNNNNNNNNNNNNNNNNNNNNNNNNNNNNNNNNNNNNNNNNNNNNNNNNNNNNNNNNNNNNNNNNNNNNNNNNNNNNNNNNNNNNNNNNNNNNNNNNNNNNNNNNNNNNNNNNNNNNNNNNNNNNNNNNNNNNNNNNNNNNNNNNNNNNNNNNNNNNNNNNNNNNNNNNNNNNNNNNNNNNNNNNNNNNNNNNNNNNNNNNNNNNNNNNNNNNNNNNNNNNNNNNNNNNNNNNNNNNNNNNNNNNNNNNNNNNNNNNNNNNNNNNNNNNNNNNNNNNNNNNUAUAUAUAUAUCGUCUUAAACGAUUCCUUUAAAAAAAAAUGAUUUGCCACUAGUCGUAAAAACUUCAAACUUUACAUUGCAAUUAAGUGCUUUAUCGUUAUUUAGAACUAUUGUAUUUCCUUCUGUUUUACAUUGAUAGAAACAACCACAAAAUGUUAACUCACAUCAAUGUACAAAAUAAGCUUAAACAACAACUAUUAAAAAAUAAAUAAAACAAUAUUUACAAAAUCAUUAAUAAAAUAAACCACGAUUAUAUGCAUCGCCUCUCUGUAGGGAUGAGCAUAGGCGGGUACCCGCCUAAUUUGAUAAGAACCGGAACCAGAACCGGAACCGGCGGUUCUUGAAAUUAUGAAACCGGAACCGGAACCGGUUACAUCGGUUCUCAAAAUUUCAAAACCGGCCCCGGAACCGGCAGUUCCGGUUCCAAUACCGGGUUCCCAGUUUAGUUGUUUGUUUUAGAAUAAUCAAGAACAAAUCAACUACAACAAGAACUAGGUAAAACCCAUUUAUAAAAAUAUUAACUAUGAAUUCAGUUAAAUACGUAAGCAUGCAUAUUAACUGAAAGCUCCUUAUUUGGAAAAAGGAAAUGAAGAGGCCUUAAGGGGAUAUGAAGCAUGAAGUUCAUUUAUAUAACAAUGGUGAGGAACAGACUUUUGUUUAGAAGUGAUGUGGGAUGGAAAUAUGGGAUGAGAAUAAGGGUGAAGUUUAAUCUCCUCCCACUUUUGCCUGUAAGCAUUAAAUCCACAACCAUGCCUUCCUUAAAUCUUAAAAAAUAGGACGGAAAUGAAAUGAAAUGGAAUUAAUUUAACUUCAGCCACAUCGACCUUUUNUUUAGCUUGCUGUUAACAAAUUUUGCAUGUAAUUUUAAUAUAUCUUCAAUAACCAUUACAAUUAAUCAGUAUGACAAACGUAUGUAAUUUUAAAAUAGAGAUUAAUAAUGUGUUUGUAUUUUCAACUUUGCUAUAUAUAUAUAGGCGAGUAGCGGUUCCGGGAACCGGAACCGGGACCGCCUAANNNNNNNNNNNNNNNNNNNNNNNNNNNNNNNNNNNNNNNNNNNNNNNNNNNNNNNNNNNNNNNNNNNNNNNNNNNNNNNNNNNNNNNNNNNNNNNNNNNNNNNNNNNNNNNNNNNNNNNNNNNNNNNNNNNAGCGGAUACCAUGAUGCUCAUCCCUAGCUCUCUGCAGUUGUCCGAAAAGUCCCAUAUUUUAACUUAAAUCUUGAAAAAUGGUUAUAAGAUUAACCUCUUUGGUCUCUUUCUUUUAUUAAUUUAUUAUUACUAAUACCAUCUAAUACUAUAAAUUUAAUAAAUUAUAAAAAAAAAAAAUAGCGAGCACAAUGACCAUUCUACAAGAAUUUAAAAGUAAUAUUACUAUUUUGAAAUUAAAUUUUAAUCGUAUUUGAUAUUGUAUAAUCUAUAUAUUGAAAAGAAUUAAUAAAUAAACUUAACACAUAAAACCGGGAUACCAGUAGCCCUUACGUUUUCAAUAAAUUAUAUAAUUAUUUAAUAAAAAAAUAUGUAAUUUUCUAUAAAUAGCAUCCAUCCGACGGUAGCACCAGUAACCAUGGCUUCUUCUCUUUCCUUAAUGCUUUUCUGCUUCAUCUUCAUAUCAUUCGCCAUCUCAGACGCUGUUGUUCCCCCCGCCGACACUUUUCGGUAUGUCAACCAAGGCGAUUUUGGAGAAGCCAACUCCGAAUACGCCCCAAACUAUCGUGCUCUUCCUCCAUUCACAUUUCCUUUCCAGCUAUGUUUCUACAAUACGACACCCGGUGUCUACACUCUCAGUCUCCGCAUGGGGGUCCGAAAUGACGAAUACAUGAUGCGAUGGGUAUGGGAAGCAAACAGAGGCAACCCUGUUGGCGAAAACGCCACAUUCUCAUUGGGCUCCGACGGAAACCUUGUACUGGCCGACAGAGAUGGCCGGAUCGCAUGGCAAACCAACACCGCCAACAAGGAUGUCGUCGGUUUUGCCAUACUCUCCGAUGGUAAUAUGGUGCUGCGUGACUCCAAGGGUAGUUUCGUAUGGCAAAGCUUUGAUUCACCUACUGAUACUCUCUUGUUUGGUCAAUCUCUCCGGAUCCGAGGUCCGACGAAG